GCGGGUGUCCACAGCAUAGUUGGGGUUAAGCCACUUAGUCAUGGAGGCAAGUGAAUGCGCAACAAGGGAUCUCUAACCUUCAAACUGUUUAAGGGAGAAUACUCUAUGAUAUGAUUAAGAAUCUCUGGCCAGAGUAUGAAUGAGAUUUAGGAAGUCAUUCCAAAUCACAUUCAAGGUAAUCAUAUAAGUAAAUGAAUCACAUUAGAUAGUAGACAUGAAUAAACUAUCAAACCAAACAAUGUGGUCAAGAGUAUUGUAUUAGAGAAAGACCGUAUUGCAUUUGUAAUCCUAAACUGAAUAGGUUCUCCACCUCUUCUAAUUAGCUUGGGUAACCAUGAUAUGCUGCUAGGUGUCACUUAUGGUUUGUGGAAGCCCUAAACGUGUAUAAUCACUAAAGGGAGAAUUGAAAGUAAGUUUCAAUUCAUAAUCGAUUUGAAAUGGUUUUAAUCGCCCACUGCCUCGCUAAAAGGAACCUAAUGGAUCGUACACCGUGUAAGGUGGAGAUUGAAGAAACAAUGGAGAUGAGUAAGAAUAAUUAAAUGGUUUAAUUAUUUAUGGCAAGGAUUAAUUAAUAUGUUAAUUAAUCAAACAAAUAAGUUCGUUAAAGACCUCAGGAUAGUUUUGGACCUUAAGGCCCAAUGGGCUUCGAACGUCAAGCCCAUUGACUUAAGUUGUAUGACAACUUAAUGAAUAAUGAUUCACAAAGGCCCAAUUAGCCCAAUAAUACCCUAAGGCCGGCCAUUCAGAGAUGGAGUGAGUUUUGGACUUAUUUACAAGUUUGCCACUCCAACGAAUUAAGGUAUAAAUAUGACUUUAUAGCCAAAAUUCAUUUAGGGUUUUCUUUUGGGGAAAUGAUGAGAACAUAAGCUCUCAUUUCUCUCUAAAGUGGCCGGCCUCCUUGGAGGGUUUAGCUAGCAAUCCUACUACUCCAAGGUCACUCAUUUCUUCUCCAAUCUAACCUUGGUGAAGAGACUUAGAGGUUCUCAAUUUUGGGAACUUGGAGAAACCUAUUCCUCCAUCCAAAUCCAUGGAUCUAAGAAGCAAGGAAUGAAGGCCCUAUCUCUUGGGUGAUUAUCCUUUGCUUAUGCAAAGAGGAAUCAACAAAGGUAUAAUUUCUCAACUCACUUAAUUUUGAGUUGAGUCUUGGUUCACCAAACUACUAGGCUUUGAAUUUCAUGGGUAAUGUUUUGUUUUUGAGUGAAUACAAGCAUGAUUCCGCCUUUAAUUUGUUAAUUGCAUGCUAUAGAUGUUAUUCAAAUGAACAUGUUUUUCACAAAAUUUCCUUCAGUGACACUAAGACAAGUAUGUAAGUGCUCAUUAAGGGAAUGAGUUCAGUGAACACAAUCGAACGAGAGUACUUGAAUGGAGGUCGACUCACAUGUCAAGCAAGUAACUCUAAUAGUUGGAAUAAUGUAAGUAGUCUUUUGACCUGAGGCAUCAUCGUUGUCUUGUGGUUAAGUACUUGAUCUUUGAUUAUGUCAAAGUCACUCCAUCCGCGGGUGUCCACGGCAUAGUCGGGGUUAAGCCACUUAGUCAUGAAGGCAAGUGAAUGCGCAACAAGGAAUCUCUAAUCCUCGUGAAGAGAGGAUGAAUACUCUAAGAUAUGAUUCUGGAAUCUUCGGCCGAAGUAUCGAGCGUAAUAAAGGAAAGCGUUCCUAUACGACUCAAUUGAAUCAUAUAAGAAGGAAUAAUCACAUUAGGGGUUUGACAUAAUAUAUCCAUACCCUAGUGAUGUGAUUGAGAGUAUUGUUUUAAAGAAGGAUCAAAUUACAUUGUAAUUCCAACUGAAUAGGUUCUCCGAACAACUUCUACAUUAGCUUGGGUAGCCAUGAUAUAUGGUUAGAUGUCACUCAUGGCUUGUGAGUUCUUCUAGAUGAUUAAAUGUAGUCGUCAAAGAAGAAGGUGAAUUAAAAGUAAGUUUUAAUUCACUAAGUGAUUGGAUUAAAUAUAAUCAAUUGGAUUGGUGCCAAUCACCUCACUGCCUUGCUAAUUAGAACCUAAAACAAUUGUUCACCAAUACACUCUUGUAGUGAGUAACUAAUGGAUGAUGGAAAUAAUUAAUUGGAUUAAUUAAGUGUUGUGAUUAAUUAGAAAGUCUAAAGAAAUCAUAAAAGCGAUAUAAGAUCGUUUUGGGCUUAAAGAAACGUUCGGGUUUAAUUGGGCCCAUUGGGCCUAAACCCAUUGGGCUUUUAUUCAAGCAUUGGAUGACUUGAAAUAAAUAAAGCCCAAAGCCCAAACAACACAAAGGGGCCGGCCAAAGGAAGGAGAGAAAGGUCAAAUGUUGACUUGUUUCUUUUGGCUAUAAAAGGAACUUUAUAGCAAAUGUUUCAUUAGGGUUUUUGAAGUGUUAAAAGAACAAAAAAGAAAAAGAAAAAUAUCUCUCUAACACUCAAAGGGGCCGGCCACCAUUGGGGGAUUUAGCUAAUCAUCUUUUCACCCCUUUGGUUAUUCCUUCAUCCUUCUCACUACACUAGUGGGUGAGGAUCUUUAGAGGUUUUCAAUUUUGGAAACUUGAAGAGAACCUAGGAGCACUCAUUCUAAACAAAGUGGAGGAGGCAAGGAAGGAGGCUAGGCUCAAGGAGUUCAAGGAGCAAAGGGCUUGGAGGUGGUCCAUCCUUGGUCUAAGAUUUAGAUCAAGAGGUAUAAAACUACUCCUAAACUUUGUUCUUGUAUAAAUUUGUUUUUGAUGCAUCUUACAUAAACCUAUGCAUCUUGAAGGGGGUUUACAUGACUAUUGCUUUGAUAUUAUUUGAUAACAUGCUUCCGUUGCUUUCGUAUAUAAAUUUUGAAUUGUAUAUGCAUGCUAGUCACUAGAAAUCCCACAUGAAUCUCAUAGUAUUCCCUUCAGUGGCACCACUAUCUGGGUACCAUGUGGGGUCUGGGUACUGCACGACUUGGGAGCCAGCAAAAGGUGUAAAAGAAUCAGGCCCAUGAUAACGAUAAGGACACUGUUGGGCUAAGUAUUGAUUUGUUGAACAGUUGGGGCACCAAGGCCAAGGCCCGAGCCUAAUAAGCCCUGCGAGUUCCACUGACCGCGUCCUAUGCCACACGGAGGGCCAUUCCAGUUUGCUAGGCCAUUCAUAUUCAGCCCAUUGCAAGGGUGGAAGGGUGCAUUCCAGUUGCCACGAUUUGGACGACCAUUGCGACCAUGAUUGUUGCUGCGAUGUUGUCCUCCACAUCCUCCUUUGUGACCUUGCCAGCCACCUUUGGUAGGUGGAUAAGAUUGAUUCCACGGGGAUGGUUUUGGGGUUGUUGGUGGAUGGUGAUGAGAGCUGUCUAUGUAGUUAAAGUGGAGGAGCCGUUGGGGUUCUGAAGAUCAAAAGCAAGAAUCCGUGUGUGUAACUCAGUGAAGGAUGGCAAGGGUUUCGAGUUAAUGACAGCUGUAAGGAGCAUACGAUAGUCAAGACCUAACUCUCGAAGCACCAUGAGAACCAAGUCGUUGUUAGAGAUAAGUUGUCCAAUAUGAACGAGUUCAUCAGUGAGAUUCUUGGCGUGUUGCAGGAACUCAGAGACGGAAUGGGUGCCUUUAUGAAGAUCCAAUAAUUAGAAACGGAGGUUGACUGCGUUGGCGACAUAGUUCUAGGAUAAGUGUUCCUCCAGGCAGUCCCAAACAACUUUGGCCGUGUCAUGGCCAACUGUUAAGGCAAGAACAGGUUCAGAGAGGGUGGAGGUGAUGUAACUUACGACAAGUUGAUCGUGCUAGUACCAUGUGAGGUAUGCAGGGUUAGAGACCACAGAGGAGAGAGGGGCCUGUGUAACAUCGGUAGAAGAAUCAUUAGAGUCGGUUGUGGUGCGUGGAGGAGCAAGAGUGGUGGUGGUGAUUCUACUCGGCGGUAGGGGAAAAGAGCCAUCAAUGAAUUUCCAUAAAUCAUGCCCGAUGAGGAACGGAAGAAGUUAACGCUGCCAGUUGAGAUAAUUUGUCCCUGUUAGUUUCAGAAAUUGAGAAACAUUUUGGCCAGGUAAGUGAGGUGAAGAAGCACCAGAGGUUGACAUAGCAAAAGGUGAGGAUCGGUUAGGAAGCAAUAAAGCCAGAAAGGGAUGAUACCAUAUAGAAAGUGAAGAACAAUACCAUGUAGAAUGUUACAGCCCGUCCCUGAUUUUACGAAAAUACCUUAGAGGUGAAGGGUUUUAGACUUUUGUUGACCAACGUAUAGUGAGAAGUACGAACUUAUUUCAGCGUAUUCCUGAAGUACUCGACAAUAUGAGCAGAAGGGGAUUUGGAGUUACGGUUAAAGUUUUACGAAACUCUAACCUGAGAAGUACUUUUACUUUGGUUAAUAUAUACAUAUAUUUAUUUAUAUGUUAUUAUUUUUAUUAGUUGUUAUUAGAAAUUGGAAAAGAAAGAGGAAGGCAUCGGGAGGAAAGGAAAACAGAGGAAAAAGAGAAAAAGAGAGAUUGGGCAAAGCUGCCCAAUCAGAGAAGAUGAAGGAGAGGCCGAAUGGGGAGAGGAGAGAGGAAGCUGAUUGGCCAACCAGAAGAAGGAAAUAAGGGAAAAGAGGAUGAAGGAAAAGGAGAGGAUCGGCCAGAUCCUGUCGACCUGCGCACACCCAACCCGUCGACCAAGUGAAAUUAUGGCGGUUCUGAGCCGUUUUUCAGGCUAUUUUCAUCCCAUCUCCACCUGCAAGCAUCACCACAUCUCUUCUCCUUCAUUUUUCUCUCAAGAUUCGAUGGAAAUUGGGUCAAAUCCGUGACAUUUAGCGAUGGUGACUCCGGCGGGUGUUGCGUCGAUUCUCCCAAUUCUGAAACAAUUUCUUCCAAUUGACACUACACAUACACUUCCCUUGAGGCCUAGAACAAUGCCCAAUUGUUGGUUGGAGGAGCGGAGUUGAAUUGAGGACGAAUUGAAGAACACCACAUAUAAGGUUUCGUACGGUUUUGGCAAAAUUGGAGCUUUUCUAGGCCAAAUUGGCCUUGGCCUCAGGUAUAAAGUUUACUCUACUCAUUGAGAUCUUAAUUUCUGUAAAUUUUGGUAAUUUUUGGAGAUAGUUGGAUUUUCCGAUGAGCCGGGGCGGCCCGUACGGCGGCGCGUGGCCAGUGGCCCGCCAAUGUCAUUCUUAGCAUGUGUUUAAUGUUCUAGGUUCAGUUUUGAUAAUUGAUUGACGUAAAUUGAGUAAUUCAACCUAAGUUCGUUACGAUUCGUGGUUAGGUGAAAAUGUGAAUUGAUGAUCUGACUGUUGGAUCGUCAACAAACUUUGAUACAUUGUAAUACGUAAUAUUUGAGGACUAUAGGAACUUACAGAUUGGAAAUCUGAUUUAUGGAUCUUCCAAAAUUGGAGUUGUAAGUUCAUAAAAUAGAAUGUUAACCGUCACUUGGUUUUGACAAUUGACGGAGAUCCUACCAUUGGAUGGUAAGGAAAUUUUAGGAUGUUGUUCUAGAGAUAUAUUGUGGACCUCUGGAAGUUAUGGAUUGGAAAUCUGAGAUGCAGAUCUUCCAGAUCAAACUACGUAGUGACCUGUUUUAUAUAAGUUAUAUAUUCUAUCGAUAUGAUUUAUGAGGUUUGAUUUGAUGAUUGUUCUAGGCGCUAAUCAUCAUGACACCUUGAUGUGUUGUGCUAGGGAGUUGUUGAAGGAAAAUUUUUGUCCUAGCUAAGAACAAGUAAGAACAUUUGAAUACAUAUGCAAACUAUUAACACUUUAAAGUAGGCAUGCAUUCAAAAACAAUUCAUAAAACCCACGACUUUCAAAGCCUAGUAUAUGGUGAACCAAUAAACUCUUUAACAACAUUAAAGAGAAGGAAAGAUUUAGAGUUUCUUUACCCUUGAAGCUCAUCCUUGAUUACACAAGGGAUUCACCCAAGUUGAGGGCCUUCAAGUCACCUCCUUGCUCCUUGGAUCUUCCUUGUGAUUUUCCUCCUUUUAGUGCUCCUUUGCUUAUUUGAGGAUUUGAGGAUUUGUUCUCCAAAACACCAAAAGUUUGAUGUCUCUAAGUCUCUUCACCAAGGAUGUGAUUGUGAAGUGAAAUGGAUGACUUAGAGAAGAAUAAAUUGCUAGCUAAAACUCCUCUAAGUGGCCGGCCUCUUUAGAGAAAAUGAGAGAAAGUGUUUCACCUCAUUUCACCAAGAAAAACCCUAAAUGAAAAUAAAGCUAUAAAGUUGAAUUUAUACUUCAUCACAUGUGAGUGGCAAACUUGUAAUUAAUCCAAGUUUGACACUUCUCACCCUAAUGGCCGGCCAUAUCAAAUUGAUUGGGCUAAUUGCCCAUUUUGUUUUAGUUGUCAUACAACUUAAACAUAAUGGGCAUUGUGGACCAAAAAUGCUUUUGGGCCCCGAAACCCAAAACCAACAUAUAAGCCCAAUACGAACAUUUCGUAUAAUUAAUUAACUACUUAAUUAAUCUUGACCAUUCUUCAAUUAAACCAUUUAAUUGCUUAUCCAUUUCAUUUAAUUUCUUCACCAACAUCCUUAUUCGGUGUACGAUCCAUUAGGUUCCAUUUAGCAAGGUAGUGGGCGAUUGUUACUCUUAACGAUCGAUUACGAAUUGAAACCACAUUUCAAUUCUCCCUUAAAAUUAGUGUUUGCUAAUCAUUAGGGCUUCCACAAACCAUGAGUGACACCUAGCAGCAUAUCAUGGUUACCUAAGCUAAGUAGAAGUGGUUGGAGAACCUAUCCAGUUACAACUACAAUGCAAUACGGUCCUUCUCUAAUACAAUACUCUUAAUCACAUUGUUUGAGUGAUAGUUUGUUUCAUGUCUACUAUCCAAUGUGAUACUUAUCUAUAUGAUUCAAUUGAAUAUGAUUUGGAACAAACUUCCUAAGUCAUAUUCAUAUGCUUUGGCCAAAGACUUUCGAAUCAUAUCUUAGAGUAUUCUCCUUCCACCAUGGAAGGUUAGAGAUCCCUUGUUGUGCAUUCAUAUGCCUACACGACUAGAUAGCUUGACCCCAACAAUGCCAUGGACAUUCCAAUGGAAUGCCUUUAACAUGAUCAAAGAUGAAGGACCUAACCAUUAGACAUCUAUGAUGCCUCAGGUCCAAGGACUACUUUGCAUAUUGCAACUCUCGAGUUCUUACAUGACAUGUAUGUUCGAACUCUCUUUUGAUCGUUGUUCAGUGUACUCGAUCACUAUUUCGAGCACCUAUGUGUUUGCCUUAGUGUCCAACACUAAAUGACUUGAGACUUGUCAUACUCGCGAUUGAGUCGACAUAACACAUACUAACCUUAGCGGAUUGUCAAUGCCCAAUUGGCAAUCCUAUGGCUAGGAACGUUUUAGGAAUGAACAUAAGAGAAAGGUCUCGUUAAUCUAACUUACUUAAAUCACUUAUCUCUUAGAUCAAAUACAUUCCUUGGAUUCCCUUAUUGCUUAAACACAAGAUACAAUAAAUAGUGAUUAACAAUAAGCUUUGCCCUUCAUUAAACAUAUAAAAGUUUAAUACAAUAAGUAUUCCAAAAGCUAUUACAUCAAAUGAGUGGCUUUGUGGGCAUACUUCCAACAAUCUCCCACUUGCACUCAAAGCCACCUUCCCCAUGUAUCUAAUACCCAUCCUUUCCAUAUGACGGUCAAGUUGGAUUUGAGACAUUGGCUUUGUCAGUGGAUCUGCUACGUUAUCGGCUGAGGCAACUUUGAGGAUGUUGACUUUCCCCUCGGCAGCAUAUCUUCUAAUGAUAUUAAAGCGCCUGUCAAAAUGCUUGUUCUUUUGAUGAGCCCUGGGUUCCUUGGCUUGAGCUAUCGCCCCACUAUUAUCACAGUACAAAGUUACUGGUGAUGUAAUCGUUGGAACCACUCCAAGUUCAGUAAUGAACUUCUUCAUCCAGAACGCUUCUUUGCCGGCUUCAGCUGCAGCGACAUAUUCUGCCUCUGUCGUGGAAUCAGCAAUUACACUUUGUUUCUUGCUUUUCCAGCUAACAGCCCCACCAUUCAGAGUGAAUACAUAUCCGGAGUUGGAACUUCUAUCAUCGACAUCAGAUUGGAAAUCUGCGUCUGUAUAGGCUUCCACUCGCAACUCUGUUGCUCUUCCAUAAACGAGGAACAUGUCCUUAGUUCUUCUUAAGUACUUAAGGAUGGUCUUGACAGCUGUCCAGUGUUCUGAUCCUGGGUUAGAUUGAUAUCGACUAGUAAUGCUCAUAGCAUAUGCGAUAUCAGGCCUUGUGCAUAUCAUGGCAUACAUGAGACUUCCUAUGGCGGAGGCAUAAGGAAUAGCACUCAUCUGCCAUACCUCUUCAGGAGUUUUAGGUCCCAUGGACUUAGAAAGGUGAAUUCCAUAUCCCACAGGAAGAAGACCUUUCUUAGAUUGUUCCAUUUGGAACCUACUUAGCACCUUAUCUAUGUACAUAGAUUGGGAUAAUCCAAUUAAUUUAUUGGAUCUAUCACGAUAGAGCUUUAUCCCAAGUACAUAAGAUGCAUCUCCCAAAUCUUUCAUGUGGAAGGUUUUGGACAACCACACUUUUACAGAAGAAAAUACUGCAGUGUCAUUCCCGAAUAGUAAUAUGUCAUCUACAUAUAAUACUAGGAAUACUACUACAUCCCCAACGACUUUUUGAUAAAAACAAUUGUCGUCUUCGUUUUGAGUAAAACCAAACAUUUUGAUUUCAGUAUCGAAACGAAUGUUCCAGCUCCUGGAGGCUUGCUUAAGUCCAUAAAUGGACCUUUGAAGCUUGCAUACCUUAGUCUUUUCAGACUUGGACAUGAAACCUUCGAGUUGAGUCAUAUAGAGCUCUUCCUCUAGGUAGCCGUUCAGAAAGGCCAUCUUCACGUCCAUUUGCCAAAUCUCAUAAUCAUGGUACGCAGCUAUAGCAAGCAAAAUCCGAAUGGACUUAAUCAUGGCUACAGGAGAAAAGGUUUCUUCAUAGUCAAUCCCUUCUAUUUGCCUGUAACCCUUGGCUACGAGUCUAGCCUUAUAAGUCUCCACGUUCCCAUCAACGCCUAUCUUCCUCUUGAAAACCCAUUUGUUUCCAACAGGUACUAUACCUUCUGGAGGGUCUAUAAGAGUCCAGACCUGAUUUUGAUACAUGGAAUCCAUCUCGGAUUUCAUGGCCUCUUGCCAUCUCUUUGAAUCAAUGUCGGACAUUACUUCAGUGUAGUCCCUAGGGUCCUCAUUUAUGUCAUUGUCACCUAGAAUGUGCAAUUCUGCAAAGUUAUUGUCAAAGCCAUACCUCUUAGAUGGCUUACUAACCUGUUCAGAUCUACGUGAAGCUAAGGGUUCAGGAACAGGGUUGUCAACUUGUCGAGUGCUUGUUUGUGGUUCAUCAUUAAUCUCAUUAAUUUCCAUCUCUUUGCUUAUAGUUCCUUUGAGAACAAAUUCGUCCUCUAGAAACUUAGCAGUUCUGGCGACAAAGACUAAAGGGUCGUCAGGAUGGUAGAACUCAUAUCCCAUAGUUUCUCUAGGAUAUCCCACAAAAUAGCACCUUACUGAUCUCGCUUCAAGCUUAGUAGCUUCAAGCUUCUUGACAUAUGCUUCACAACCCCAAACUUAAUGUGAUUAAGACUUGGCUUUCUUCCAUGCCAUAUCUCAUAGGGCGUUUGUGAAACUGAUUUGGAAGGUACUCUAUUAAGCAAGUAAGCUGCUGUAUAUAGAGCGUAUCCCCAGAAUGUUACUGGUAGAUCGACGGAACUCAUCAUAGAACGAACCAUGUUCAUCAAGGUUCGAUUUCUCCUUUUAGAGACUCAAUUAAGUUGUGAAGUUCCCGGUGGAGUCCACUGUGAUAUUAUUCCACACUCUUUGAGAUAAUCUAAGAACUCAUUACUCAGAUAUUACCCCCUCGAUCCGAUCUUAGGAUCUUUAUCUGUUUCCCAGUUUGCUUCUCAAACUUCAUUCUUGAUUCCUGAACCUUUCAAAGGAUUCUGACUUGUACUCAUAAGAUACACAUGAGGCAAACCGUGGAACAUGUGAUCGUCGGGUGAAUGUAUAUAGUAGGAGCGCCUCAUCUCAACGUAGAUUAGACCAUUAGGUCCACAUAGUCAGUUUGUGGAUAACCAGAAUUUCCAAGUGGCACGUCACUUUUCCAGUAAAUUGGAGAAUUUGGUCAUCUUCCUUUCAAGCAACAUCAUGUUCCCAUUGGUCAUUACCUAAUGGGCGCUAUAUCCGUUCUUUCGACAUCUUGUGCUCUUAUCAAGGUUCACAUUCCAAGUUUAAGAUGCCACAUCUUUUCUUGGUUAACUUUCUUCCUCUAGCCUUUUGGGUUUUGAGGUAUUCCCGCCUGCAAUACAGGCAUCCCACUAUUCGGUUCUAGUUGAAAAGUCCUUAUCAUAUACAUGAGAGAUAAUACGACCGUUCAGUUAUAAAGUGCAACUCAUUUUGUCAAACAAUACUGAGGCCCUCUCGUAAAAGCUUAAAUGAAAUCAAAUUCUUUAUACAUGAAGGAAAAUAUUAAACAAUUUUUUAAGUUCCAGGACUUCCCCAGAGGGUAGGUUAACGCAUGUAGGUGCCUAUUGCUUUUAGAAUUUUAGUGGCCCGCUCCCAACUCGCACAAACCUCUCCCCAAUUUGCGCAGUGAUUUGCUCCCCGCAGGUCCCCUGCAUCGUAUUACAGAUAUGUUGACUUAGCGCUGAAUCAAAAUAUCCCAAAUUGGAAGCUCAGCUGUUAAAAAACUCUCUAUGACAGAAAUAGUCUUUUCAAAAAGUUCGUGUAUUAAGGUCGCAAUGCGCCCCUGAUUUCUUCUUUUCCAACGUUCAUCCUUUCCACAAUGAAAAGCAGUUCCUGAAUUUCUUUGCCUUCUUCUUAUGCAACCUUUCCUGGUUUGCAUUCUCACUCACUGUCCAUUUUGAAACCUUUUCAAAUUUACCGCCAUGUCAAUUAUCUCGUUUUAAAAAUGAUCAAUACUAUUCCUAUAUAUAGAUUACUACAUAUGAAUCAUCCGAGAGAGAUGCAAGGAAGUGUCUCCUGGGUCAUUCCCUAGAAGUCCUAAACUUUUUUCUUGAAAGAAUCCUUUCCAUCUUUUGUUCAUGUUUUAUGGACCGAUGUCCCCUUUGCCAUUUUGGCAUUCAUUAACUCCAAUUUGGAAUCGUACAUAAAAUACUAAGUCUCUUGUCAUGCAUUCUUAUUGCAAACUUUCAACCAUGCACAAGCAGAAGUGUCAUUGCUUAUGUAGCUUCAAAGGCUCUCACCAAGUGAAGUGGGAUUAAGCAUUUUGGCUUUGUAAGUCAUCCUUCAUAGUGUCUAACAUAAUUUUUGACACUCUUCUUUGAUGCUAGUUUCGUAGAGGUACAUGAGAGGGGAUUGCUUAAGCACUUACAAUAUGUCUCACCUUUGAGACAUUUCUCAAUGUGGCGAUUUACCAAGCAAGGAAACGUUGGCCCUUAGGCCCUUUUGUCAAGUAUUAAUGGUGGGAUUAUUUUUAGGAUGUCGUUAACUUACAAAACAUAACCAGGAAAUACCGUAUUUAUUGUUGUUUUUAACCUACUUGAUUGGGUCUAAAUCAAAUCAGUUAAACCCAACCUAAUUGCUUUGGCAUAAUACUAUCCCCAAUACAGAUGGUUCGAGAAUUUUUGACUCUAUGGCAGGGUAUCCGCAGGGACACUCUCAAAUUGGCCUACCGAACGCCCACCUCACGAUGAUACGAUUGUUGCGUUAGCAAAAAUAAUGAUGAGAGAAUACGCUUUAUUCAUUUACAAACUUUUGUAAAUACCCAUCCGUUUUGGCCGGAAAUGUUGCCUCACGAUUGAUACGAGUCGGCUCCAUUACUUAGUUAGUUAUUCCACAUGCUUAGUUUGUGAAGGGGUUAAAGAAUAUCCUCACGUGUACGUUGUCGGCUAUCCUCGUUGCUACACUCACUCAUCAUAUGUUUAUGGACUCUCCUGGAUGUAAGCACAUACUUUGAACUCCCCAUGGAUAGGGUGAAGCGGUGCAUGAGUCACAAACGAUUGGAGCCCACCACGGUGGAGGCCUAUGAAGAGAUGUUGAAAACAUCUCUCGCCUUAUCAACUUAAUAUUCGUUUGUUGGGGAGUUAGUUUGGGCUACAUCCAAAAUCAUUUUAAUUUCUUAUUAAAAGAACUUGGGCCUUAUUUCACAACUAUUGGUGCCAAGUUAAUAUGAAUUAAUUAUCUAGCAUUAAUAAUACUCCCACUGUUUCGUUGAAUACAAGCGAGGGGAUAUAUGAACUACUAACGAACGCAUUGUAUCCUCAUAUGGGACUAUAAAUCAUAUUAGGUUUUAGGCAUGAUUAUGAACCGUUUGAUUUGUCUAAGACGAGCCUUGGUUGCACUUGGGUUUAAGGUAGAUAGUUGUGAAUUUUAGUUAUGCGUUUAAAUCCAUUAAACCGUUAUUUCCAUUGGGGUUGGACCCAACUAUUCCAAAUUUGCAUACAAUUAAAACAAAUAGAAUAACAUGAAAUUAAUAAGAAGGGCUUAUGCCCUUUUACAACACCAAAUGAUGACUUAAUGUCCCAUUUACAAACAAAUUUGAAACUAAUCAAAUACAUUCAAUUCUACAUACUUAACCCAAACAUUCAUAAAUGUAAAACGGUCAAUCACAUUUAGCUCAAUUUAUCGAGGCCUUUGGUUCAUAAUCACCCUUUUUCUUAAUCAAUCACAUUAACUAAGAAAACAACUUUAACAAUUGGUUUUUGGAUCCAUAUAAUUGAUUUAAAUGGAACUAAAUGAAUGAAAAUCAAUCCAUAGGCAAGUUUUGUUCUCAUUGCUUUGGGAAAAUGGAAACAUACCACUUAAUUAUGCAGCCAAACUUUUGGUACUUUAAAUGACAAAAGUACAUUCAGUUUUUAGCAAGAGAAAAAAUUUUCUAAUGAAAAAAUUAAAAGGCAAAACAAUUUUUUUAGAGUUUUUGCCUAACUAAAACCGUAAAGUUAGGGCAAAGUGCAAUACACAAAAUUCAAAGUUUAUCAAUUGCAUAAAAGGCCCCAAAAGUUUACCCCCUGUUGUGGUCAUCGGGUGUGAACAUUAUUUAAAAACUUAAAUAUGGUGACUUAUUGUUGAGACCAAUACCAGAAUUCGUGGGUCCGGAAUUAAAGCAAAGGAUCUCAACCACUAUCAGAUAAAUAAUAACCAAAACUUUAUGAAAAACUACAAUACUUGUUUUUAAUAAAACUUCAAACUUAUGUUCUGUGGCAAACCACUUCAAAAACAUUGAAGAAACACUCAUAUAUUAAUAGUCGAUAAUGUUUUUACUCACCAAACCAAUUUUCCCACUUCCGUGAGGGCUAAUAUCCUUAGGAUACUUAGGGGUUAAAAGCACUUUAAACCAUUUUAAAACAAACAUGAACCAAAAAUACUUUGGAUUUCUCGACUUUCCAACAUAUGGAAUUUUGAUCAAUUAUCAUUACUGAAAUCUCUAAAACCAUUUGUAUGCUAAAUUUCUUCAAAAUUCAUAUUCCGCCAGAACAAAGUUGUAACAUUUACAACAUUUAAAUAAAUCAUGAAAUCACCCCCAAAGGAUAACCUAUAGGUUGUUCUUGAUACCACUUAAGAAAAAAUACGUAAAUUUUGUAAUAUGCCUCUUCAUUUAUAUCUUAAAAAAUGAACAUACUUCGUGUAGUAAUGACAAUAUCUUUCACAUAAUAGAUAGACUGAUUGAGCUAUCCUUGAUAAAAUAGUGGAGGUAAGUUUUGCGAUCUAGUGAUAGUGGUUAAUUUAAUGAGAUGAAAAUAAGUCUUUCUUUUUCCUGUGUGAGAUUGAAAGGUCCAAGAACUAGCUAGUAUGUUGAUUUUGAGAAAAGAGGAAAGUUUUCACUCAUUUUCACAAAGCUUUAUAAAGCAUAAGUUGAAUUUACUUCAUCAAUGUCUCAAACUUGUUAAUCGUUUUCUUUUCUCACCCUAAUGCCCAUAUCAAAUUGUGGGCUAAUUUGCCCAUUUGUUUUGGUCAUAACAACUUAAAACAUAUGGGCUUUGUGGACAAAAAGCUUGGGGCCCACCGACCCUAUAAGCCCAUACAUUGAAUAAUUCUUAAUGUAAUAUUUGCCAUUUUUCAAUAAAAUUUUAAUUGAUCCAUUUUUUAACCUCACCAACAUGUUAUUCGUGUCGAUCAUUAGGUUCCAUUUCAAAGGAACCUACUUUGCAAUUAAAAUGAAUUUAAAUUUUCUAAUCUUUUGGUUAACAAACCAUGAGUACACAAAUUUAUCAAAUGCAAGCUAAGUAUGUUUGGGGAACUCUUUCUAGUUAACAAUACUCAAUCGGGUCCUUUCUCUAAUAAUACCACACAUUGUUUGAGUGGUUUAUGUCAAUUCAAUUAACUUUAGAAAUUGAAUAUGAUAGAACAACUUCUAAUAUUCUCGCUGGCAAAAGACUUCGAACAUAUAAAGAGUUUCUUAACCAUUGAAGUAGAGAGUGGCAUAAAUGAUUAGAAGUUGACCGAUUCUCACUGAAUGCUAUGAUCAGAAAAUUAAAUACACUAUUUUCGUUUUGAUAUUGAACUAUUUUAAGACAUAGAACUAAUGAGUACUCGAUCACUCUGGGAACCUAUGUGUUUCUCGGUACAAUUAAAACAUUUGUACUCAUUGAGUGAAUCAGUUUCUAACCAGCUAUUCAAUCAGGAACCAUGGCACCUAUCCUAAGAUUCUCGUUAAUUGGUUAUUAAAACACUUAUCUAGAUCAAUACAUUUAUUUCUUAUCUUAAACACGAAUUUGAUUAACAAUAAGCUUUUCCCUCAUUAAAACAAUAUAAAAGUUUAAUACAAUAAGUAUCCAAAAGCUAUGACAUCAAAUGAGUGGCUUUGGUGGGGCAUUAUUCCAACAGUUUAGGGUUGAACUCCAGGUGAGUGGGCAGUUUUGUUUUCCAUAUAUACCUAUAUAAAUGAGAUUUUUCCCAGGAAAUCAAUUAAGUGAAAAUGUGAUAUGAAAUGCAUGCAAAAUUACAUGCCUAAUUAUUUAUGCUUAGUAAUUGCAUUACAUGCAUGAUUGAAAAUUAGUGCGCGGACGCACAGGUAAAUUGCCAGUUAAGUUCAUAAAUUAAAUAUGUAAUUAUUGAGGUGAUAUGAUGAAAGCUCAUAAACCUGCACUAGGGUGAUUGGUGAUUUAGUAGAGAUGAUUCAUGCCUGUUAUAUAUUAUAGUCACCCCCGCACUAUUAUCCACAAUUGGAUCUAAUUUAGGUGCCCAGUCUUGUUGUACAGACCACUAGAGUUGGGUUCCGAUCGUAGGUACUAGCGAUUAUUGCAUUAAGCUAUCAGGAGAGGAUAGGCAUGGAUUCAUAACUAUAUUUCGCCCAGUUCAGUCGCACAGACUUUUUGGUUUCCGACUCGUCUGCAGUGUAGUACCGUACAUGUCACUGGAUGACUCCGACUAGAUAAGAUUGAUUAUGAGCUGGUAGAUUCGCUUGUACAAGCCACUAUAGAAAGAUCGGUUGACAUUAUUUGCAAUGAGUUAGUUAUAUGAGUUUAUGAGAUAUAUAUUUUGCAUGGCAUUAUAAUUUCAAAUCACUUUUCUGAGUAUGUUGAAUGUAUACGUAUUACAUAUUUCUUGGAAAAUUAUACGGGUUUUACAACGAGGUUAAGCGUUUUAUAAUGAAAAAAUAAUUUUCGAAAAACUUUGUUUUAUGACCACUAAACUUUGUUUUGUGCCCCUCCAUGUUAAAAGAUAGCUAGAGCUUUGGUGCCGGGAUCCAACGUAUUCGACGAAAAUUCACAAAAGUAGGACUCCCCUCGGGUGUUACAUCUUAUUUAAUUGUAUCUUUAAGGCUUCCGAACUGUUUAAAUGUUACGUCCACUCUCACUGUGAGGCCAGCAUGCCCUUCUUCGGGGCGGAAAGUGUCAGUUGUAUCAGAGCCUUGGGUUGCAAGUCCUGGAAUUGAGAUUUCCCUAGUUCUUCCGUCGGAACUUUAAUGCCCUCUAGAUAGCCACUUUGUUUAGAUGAGCUUAGUUUCCUUGAUUUAACUUAGUUAUGGGAAACUACUACUAAUGUGAUUCAGUCUGUUGUCUAUCCUUCCCAAAUGACUCCUUUUGAGAAUGGUUAUAAGUUGAAUCUGAAUCACUUUAUGGAAAUGAAAGACCGGAGGGAGCAAAUCGAUGGCUUAAUCAUUUGGAAAAGGCGUUUCAGAUUCUGCAAGUUAAGGGAAUCUUUCUUUUGAAAGGUAGGUCGAGAUGACUACCUAGUUUCUGAGUAUUGAAUUUGCAUCCUGGUGUAGGCAGGAGUCUUAUUCGAUGUUGUCAGAGGACAUAACUGUUUGAGAGUUGUUUAAAGAAUUGUUUAAGAAAAGAUUUAUUCCACCGGCAUAUAUUGAUGAUAAGAAGCAGAAGUUCACAAAUUUGAGACAUUUUAGGAAGGAUGACGGCGAAUGAGUAUUAUAGAAAGUCUACAGACUUGCCUCGUUUCCAUUUGGAAGUUGUUGCUAAUCCGGUCGAGGUGUUAUGUCAUUUUAGGUUGGAUAAUAAGAAGAAGUGGCGUUCUUCGGCGACCACUAUUCAUUGUACUUCUUACCAGGAGUUUACGAGAUGCUGAGAAUUGAUGACUCUGAGAACAUGAUCAGCGAGAGUAAAGAAGAAUAAGAAAAGAAUGGGAAUCAUAGGAAAGACGAUAAAGUUAAAGAUCUGUCAUAUCAAGGACCUCGAAAGACUCAGAGUUUCAAAAGAAGUGAAGCUAGAGCUAAUUCUUCCAGCUGAGGUUUUAGUGCCACUGGUCAGAGGCGAAGUGAUAGAUUUACUGGUGACCCCAGAUCUGAGAUUUACUGGUGACCCCAGAUUUACUGGGCCGUGGGUACAGGGAUAUUUGAUGAGUUAUAAGUCCAGUCGUACAGGUCAUACUGGCUAACUCCGGCUGAUAUUUUUCUUAUUAUUGACAAUGUUGCCAAAGAGAGUAAUGUUGGAGAACAAUCGAGGCGUAUAUAUGUAUUUCUAAUGAAGAGCAAGAUGAUAAUAUUGCACCCUUGAGAAUUGUUGCUUACUUAUCGAGACAACAGUGAGUUAUCGUUAUUGCGGGCUGCAGACCAUAAUAUCCAUAACUUAUUUGUUGGAUUCGUUAAGCAAGUAAACAGGUAGGUCAUUCUAUGUCGGUUAUGAUUAUUCAGGGUGUCCAAUGAUGGUGGAAUAAGUAGUUAUGCCAGCGAAUCUUAUCCCGUUAGACAUUGUAGAUUUUGAUGUGAUUUUAGGCACAGAUUGGUUGCAUUAUAAUAGUGCCAAUAUGGAUUGCUACGGGAAAUCAGUUACUUUCCAUUGUCUUGGAUUAUCAGAGGUUACUUUUGUGAGUGAGCAAAGUGGAGUGAGGCAUGCCGUUAUUUCUGUUGUGAGAGCAAAGAGAUUGUUAUCAAAAGGUUGCCAAGGAUACCUAACUCAUGUGGUGUUGCAGGAUCGUACUCUUAAUAUUGUGUGACGUAUGAGUGGUAGACAUUUUCCUAAUGUGUUUCCGGAAUGAUUUACCUGGAUUGCCACCAGACAGAGAUGUGGUGUUCACUAUUGAAUUGUCUCGAAGUACAGAUUUUAUGUUAUAGAUUGGUUCCUACAGAGUUAAAGGAAUUGAAAAUUCAGUCAUAGGAAUUGGUUGAUAAAGGUUUCAGUCAACCUAGUACGUUACCUUGGAAAACCCCAGCUUUGUUUAUAAGGAAGAAAGACGGGACCUUAAGAAUAUGUCUGGAUAUUAGGUAUUUGAAUCGGGUAACGAGUAAGAACCGUUAUCCAUCGCCGCGCAUUGAUGAUUGUUUGAUCAACUUAGAGGUGCCUAUGUGUUUUCAAGGAAAGAGUUAAGGUCUGGUAUACUCUUAAGUUGAAAGUAAAGCAUGCUAGUCAUUUUGAGUUGGUGUUGCAAUGUUUGAGGGAACAUUGGUAGUAUGCAAAGUUUGACAAAUGUCAAUUUUGGACGAAUCAAGUGACAUUUCUAGGACAUGUUAUAUCCGCUUAAGGUAUUCAAGUGGAUCCUUAAAAGGUAGCAGCGAUUGAUAAUUGGGAACAACCUCAAACCAUCACUGAGGUACGGAGUUUUCUUGGCCUAGUAGGGUAUUAUAGACGGUUUGUGAAAGAUUGUUCAGUCGUUGCUUUGCCAUUAACGAGAUUGACUAGAAAAGAAGUUAAGUUUGAAUGGAUUGAGAAUAGAAGAACGAGAAGUAGCCUUACUUGCUAGUUCCAAGUUAGGCCUAUUUUGGUUGAUCGUAUACUUGAUGCCCAGAUGAAUGAGGAAGAAAUUCAAGAAUUAAUUGAGGCAAGGAAUAAAGGGAAAAAGAAAGACCUUAUAGUUAGAGAAUCAGAUGGCAUACUUAUGCAAGAGAACAGGAUGUAUGUGCCUAAUGAUGUGGAAUUAAAGAAAGCAAUUUUGAUGAUGCACACUGUUCAGCUCAUGCAAUGCAUCCAGGAGGUACUAAGAUGUAUCAUACCCUUCAACCGUUUGAUUAUUGACCGGGUAUGAAAAAAGGAAAUUGCUGAGUAUGUAAGUAGGUGGAUCAUUUAUCAGCAAGUUAAAGUGGAAAGAAAGAAGCCUUUUGGAUUGAUGCAGUCACUUCUCGUUCCACAGUGGAAAUGGGAAAAUAUUGCUAUGGAUUUUGUGUACAAGUUUCCUCGUAUACGAAAUGGUUAUGAUGGCAUUUGGGUGUUAGUUGAUUGGCUUUCUAAGUCAGCUCACUUUAUUCCAGUGGGGGAAAAGUAUUCUUUAAACUGAUUAACUGUAAUUGUUUAUAUCGAAGUUUGUAAAGUACUAUAGAGUGCCAAUGAGUAUUAUUUCAGAUCGUGACCCAUGGUUACUUCUAAGUUUUGGUUGGCAUUUCAGGAGGCUUUGGAUACAAGGCUACUUUAUAGUACGGUUUAUCAUCCUUAAAUAGAUAGGCAAUCUGAGAGGACGAUUUGGAUGUUGAAGGAUAUGCUAAGAUCUUCAAUAUUGCAGUUUGGUGACGCUUGGCAUAAGCGGUUGGAUUUGAUGGAAUAUGCCUACAACAGCAGCUUUCAUUCGAGUAUGGGAAUGAUACCAUUUGAGGCAUUAUAUGGGGAAACUUGUAGUGCACCUUUGUGUUGGUCAAAAGUUGACGAAAAAGUUUUAGUGGGCCCUAAUAUUGUGGAUGAGACUACUCAGAAUGUUCAAAUGAUUAAGUCUGACUUGAAAGCAGCCAGGAUCGACAAAAGAGCUUAGUAGACAGACAUGCCAUUGAUCGGGUGUAUAAUAUAGGUGAUUGGAUGUUUUUUAAAUUAUCACCUUGGAAAGUAUGGUUCGGUUUGGAAAGAAAAAUAAGUAAGUCCUAGAUACAUCAGACCAUAUGUGAUCACCGAAAGAGUCGGUGAAGUUACUUAUAGGCUUGAGUUGCCUCCAGAGUUGUCGAAAGGGCACGAUGUGUUUCAUAUUUCGAUACUUCGACAUUACAUCUCAGAUCCUUCACAUGUGAUACCUCCUUAACCUUUGGAAGUCAAUAUGGAUUUGACGUAUAAUGAGGAGCCAGUGACUAUCUUGUAUUGGAAAGACAUUGUGCUGAGGAAUAAGACAAUGAGUUUGGUGAAAGUUUAUGGAGCAAUCUUUCAGCGGAAGAAGCUACUUGGAAGUCAGAGAAUCGGCUGAGAGAGAUCUAUCCCAGAUUAUUUUAUGGUUAUUGAUGAAUUGUAAUUAUUGUGUGAAUUUCAAGGAUGAAAUUCUAUAAGGUAGGUAGAUUGUCACAGCCCGUCCCUGAUUUUACGAAAAUGCCCUAGAGGUGAAGGGUUUUUGACUUUUGUUGACCAAUGUAUAGUGAGAAGUACGAACUUAUUUCAGCGUAUUCCUGAAGUACUCGACAAUACGAGCAGAAGGGGUUUUGGAGUUACGGUUAAAGUUUUAUGGAACUCUAAUCUGAGAAGUACUUUUACUUUGGUUAAUAUAUACAUAUAUUUAUUUAUGUGUUAUUAUUUUUAUUAGUUGUUAUUAGAAAUUGGAAAAGAAAGAGGAAGGCAUCAGGAAGAAAGGAAAACAGAGGAAAAGGAGAAAAAGAGAGAUUGGGCAAAGCUGCCCAAUUGGAGAAGAAGAAGGAGAGGCCGAAUGGGGAGAGGAUAGAGGAAGCUGAUUGGCCAACCAGAAGAAGGAAAGGAGGGAAAGGAGGAUGAAGGAAAAUGAGAGGAUCGACUGGAUCCUGUCGACCCACGCGCACCUAACCCAUCGACCCAGUGAAAUUCUGACGGUUCUGAGAUAUUUUUCAGGUGAUUUUCAUCCCAUCUCCACCUGCAAGCAUCACCACAUCUCUUCUCCUUCAUUUUUCUCUCAAGAUUCGAUGGAAAUUGGGUCAAAUCUGUGACAUUUGGCGAUGGUGACUCCGGCAGGUCUUGCGUCGAUUCUCCCAAUUCUGAAACAAUUUCUUCCGAUUGACACUACACAUACACUUCCCUUGAGGCCUAGAACAAUGCCCAAUUGUUGGUUGGAGCGGCGAAGUUGAAUUGAGGACGAAUUAAAUAACACCACAUGUAGGGUUUCGUACGGUUUUGGCAAAAUUGGAGUUUUUCCAGGUCAAACUGGCCUUGGCCUCAGGUAUAAAGUUUAUUCUACUCAUUGAGAUCUUCAUUUCUGUAAAUUUUGGUAAUUUGGAGAUAGUUGGAUUUUCCGGUGAGCCGGGGUGGCCCGUACGGCGGUGCAUGGCCAGUGGCCCGCCAAUGUUAUUCUUAGCAUGUGUUUAAUGUUCUAGGUUUAGUUUUGAUAAUUGAUUGACGUAAAUUGAGUAAUUGAACCUAAGUUCGUUACGAUUCGUGGUUAGGUGAAAAUGUGAAUUGACGAUCCAACCAUUGGAUCGUCACCAAACUUUGACACAUUGUAAUACGUAAUAUUUGAGGAUUAUAGGAAAUUACGGAUUGGGAAUCCGAUUUAUGGAUCUUCCGAAAUUGGAGUUGUAAGUUCAUAAAAUAGAAUGUUAAUCGUCACUUGGUUUUGACAAUUGACGGAGAUCCGACUGUCGGAUGGUAAGGAAAUUUUAGGAUGUUGUUCUAGAGAUAUAUUGUGGACCUCUAGAAGUUAUGGAUUGGAAAUUUGAGUUGCAGAUCUUCCGAAUCGAACUACGUAGUGUCAUGUUUUAUAUAAGUUAUAUAUUCUAUCGAUAUGAUUUCUGAGGUUUGAUUUGAUGAUUGUUCUAGGCGCCAAUCAUCAUGACGCCUUGAUGUGUUGUGCUAGGGAGUUGUAGGGUGAACUCCAAGUGAGUGGGCAGUUUUGUUUUCCGUAUAUACCUAUAUAAAAGAGAUUUUUCCCAGGAAAUCAAUUUAAGUGAAAUGUGAUAUGAAAUGCGAUAUGAAAUGCCAUGCAAAAUACAUGCCUAAUUAUUUAUGCAUUAGUAAUUGCAUACAUGCAUGAUUGGUGCUACGGACGCACAGGUAAAUGCAGGUAAGUUCAUAAAUUAAAUUAUGUAAUUAUUGAGUUGAUAUGAUUGAAAGUUCAUAAACCUGCACUAGGGUGAUUGUGAUUUAUUAGAGAUGAUUCAGGCCUGUAUAUAUAAAGUCACUCCCGUACCAUAUGCUCACAAUUGGAUCCAAUGUGGGUGCCCAGUCUUGUCGUACAGACCACUAGAGGUGGUUCCGAUUCGUAGGUGACUAGCGAUUUAUCGCAUAACUAUCAGGAGAGGAUAGCGUGAGCAUAACUAUAUUUCACCCAGUUCAGUCGUACAAACCUUUUCAGGGGUGGGGGUUCCGACUCGUGUGCAGUGUAGUUACAGAUCACUUGCGAUGACUCCGGCUAGAUAAGAUUGAUGAGAUUGAUUAUGAGCUAUAGAUUCGCCGUACAGGCCACUAUAGGUGGAUCCGGUUGACAUAUUAUUUUGCAUGAGUUAGUUAUAUGAUUUGAUGAGAUAUAUAUUUGGCAUGGCAUAUAAUUCACAUAUCACUAUUUUUUAGUAUGGUUUUGAGACAAGUAUACAUAUUACAUAUUUCUGGAAAAGUAUACGGGUUUUACAGCGAGGGGUUAGCGUUUUGAUAAUGAGAUGAUUUUCCAAAAACUUUGUUUUACUGACCCACUAAACUUUCUUUUGCGCCCCUCCAGGUUCAAGAUAGCAGAGCUUUGGUGGCCACGAGGAAUCCAACGGUGUUCUGACGGAAUUCACAAAAGUAGGACUCACCCUCGAGUGUUACAUCUUAGUAAUUGUAUCUUUAAAGCUUCCGAACUGUGUAAAUGGUUACGUCACUCUCACGUGACGGCCAGCAUGCCCUCCUUCGGGACGGGAUGUGUAAUAGAAAGUGAAGAACAAUAGGGUAGGAAACAUAAACCAGAUAAAGAGAAAUUGUUGGAUUUCACACUUCAUUCAUUAUCAUAUGCUGAUUAUAUAAUACAUUAUCAACAAGGGUCCUAUAUAAGAUUAGAUUACAUGAGAGAAAAUUCUAAGUAUACAAGUAACAAAUGAAUAGUGUAUGUGAUCUAGGACUCUAGAUUAACAACAAUGAAGAAGCAACAACCAACAACCAAUAAUCAACAACCAAUAACAGACAGGGAAGAACAACUACUUCUUUGAACUCAAUUAAAUAUCUCAAAUAUUUACGAUUUGUUUAAUAUUUUGCAAGGAUGAUCUAUGAGGUCCAACUUGAAAAUAGAUGGUUCGGAUAGUUGAAGUUUAAUUUGGUGUGGGCCCCACAACUAAUUACUAUUUUAAAGAAAAAUGGGGAUCCCUUCCCUUUGGAGUUAUACUUAACAUGGGAGGAGUAAUAAUGCUGAAAGUUAAGAGCCCGGAUGACAAUUGUUUUGUUUUUGGAUUUUAGUUUUAUUUUUUAUACUUGAGAUAAUAUGUGUGGGACAUGAGAGAUGAAGAAGUCGGUAAAAGAGAAUGUAAAAAGGGAAAUUUUAUUUGAACCCAUAUAACCUCUUUCUAAACCCAACUUAAAUUUUAAAUGUGAAAUGUCUUUAUUAACCCAUUGCAUAAUUACCAUCAAGUACAUGAUAAAAUUAUUAAUAAAAAUUAUAUUUAUUAAUAAACCCACAUCCAAUAAUCAAACCCUAAUCAUCACGUACUUUUUCUGUUACGUUCUAUUGUGAUAAAAACCUAAUAAAUUGGCUAAUACCUCUUUAAUUUAAUUAAAACUUUGUUCCCUAGAUGAGUUUUGAGAGUAGACCCUCAGUAAUGAUUUUAAACCAAGUACAGUAUAAUCGCAUGCUUUUUUAACUAACGAGGUUAAAAUUUUGUGUGGACAAUUCCUUGAUUAGUUAGAAAUUACAUGAUAUCGAAGUUUUUUUGGUUGAGCAUAAUGUGGUGUUCAUAAACUCAUAAUGUUAUAAGAAAAUGUGGUUCUUCAAUUUACAGGUAAAGACCCAUCCCUAAUUUUCCAUGUAAUUUUCUCCCCGAGUGUGUAAAUUGACGUUUACGCCCUUUUUGGCAAAAGUAGAACCUGACAUGGACGUAGUUUUUCGGCUUUUAAAAUAUCUUCUCGUUAUUGUAAUUAAAUAGUACUUAUUGUUACGAAUGCAUGAGCACAAGUUAGAGCCGACACGGACUUGUAACGAAAAAGUUACGUUUAAUUAAAAUGCGUUAAUAAUGGGUAAAUUUGUACACGUGUGCGUUAAUUUUUCAGUGUAGGAAACACUGUUUUUGAUAAGGGGACAUAUUUUGUGUAAUCUAAAAUUGUACAAAAUCUUAUCUUUUUCCCUUUUUUUAAAACAUGUCUGGUGCCCUUUUUCCCUCACCCACCAAUCAACUUUAUUCCCAUUUCUUCUCACCCAAUCAGACAUCACUUCCUCUCUUUUCUUUUUAGCCAAUCAGAAAAACUCUCUCUCUCUCUCAUCUUCUCCUUCUCUCUCUCCCUCACCGUAACUCUCAUCUCUUUGAAACACCAAGGAUAACCAUCAAACUUCAUAGAUCGAGCCUAAAAUUACCACCAUCGUGUUCCUCUCAUCCUCACGAAUACAUCCGUAUGAACCGAUUAAGAAAUGGACGAGUUUUGAGUGUCCAACUCAAAGCAACUUGGAGCUCCGACUUGGGUGGAGUUUUCCCCGAAGUUUUUCAGUUCGAGUUACAAGAUUUUGGGAGUUUUGGAAGCAUCUAGGCAACUCCCCGAGGCCAUUAGGCUAGUUUAGAAGUGGAGCCGACGAGGAAACCCAUGGGUAAGAGAAGUUGAGUUUAGGUCUGAGGCUAUCAAGUGUAUUUUGAUCUAUUCCCUGUCCAUUUUUGGACUUUUGAAAGGUACAAUCUUGUUCUACUCGUCACAAGCUUCAUUUUUAUAUAAAGUUUGUAAAAAAUGGUUGAGAAAUGAAGGAGAUAUGAAGUUUUGAAUUUUUUUCUAGAAUCCAGCGAACCAGACAGCGGCGCCUAAACCAGCGGAUGACGGAGGACCAUCGGAGAAGAGAGAGAAUAUUCCAUCAAAGUUGACAAAAUAUUCUAACGCCGUUAGGUAACAUCGUUAACUGACACCGUUACCGUUAGCUGAAUAUUUCGUCAAGUCUGACAAAAUAUUCCCUAGGUCUGACAUCAUGUGACCUGCGCGUGGGAGUGCAUGUGGCCAUGGGCUAGGCAACGCAUGAGGGCGCGUCCGACUUCCGGCCAACAUGUGGUUGACGUGUACGCGUUUGUGACUUCGUGUAGAACAUUUUUGUAUGUUUAAAUCCUUUGUUUAAGUAAAUUAUGGCUAUAUUGAAAUCAGUGAGUGGGCAUUUGUUUAUAUAUAUAUAUAUAUAUAUAAAGUUUUAUAGUUUCCACAUAUGCUUUUGUAUUGAUUUAUGCCUAUCAUGCCAUGUUUUAUUUAAUUUUAUAAAUGUUAUUACGUGGUUGAGAUUUAUAUACUAUCAUGGCAUGUUCAUAUACAUUUUACCUGCUUAUCAUACAUUGUGUUGGAAGUAUGCCCACAAAGCCACUCAUUUGAUGUAAUAGCUUUUGGAAUACUUAUUGUAUUAAACUUUUAUAUGUUUAAUGAAGGGCAAAGCUUAUUGUUAAUCACUAUUUAUUGUAUCAUGUGUUUAAGCAAUAAGGGAAUCCAAGGAAUGUAUUUGAUCUAAGAGAUAAGUGAUUUAAGUAAGUUAGAUUAUCGAGACCUUUCUCUUAUGUUCUUUCCUAAAACGUUCCUAGCCAUAGGAUUGCCAAUUGGGCAUUGACAAUCCGCUAAGGUUAGUAUGUGUUAUGUCGACUCAAGCGUGAGUAUGACUAGUCUCAUGUCAUUUAGUGUUGGACACUAAGGCAAACACAUAGGUGCUCGAAAUAGUGAUCGAAUACACUGAACAACGAUCAAAAGAGAGUUCGAAUAUACAUGUCAUGUAAGAACUCAAAAGUUCCAAUAUGCAAAGUAGUCCUUUAACUUGAGGCAUCAUUAAUGUCUAAUGGUUAGGUCCUUGAUCUUUGAUCAUGUUAAAGGCAUUCCAUUGGAGUGUCCACGGCAUUAUUGUGGUCAAGCUACCUAGUCAUGUAGGCAUAUGAAUGCACAACAAGGAAUCUCUAACCUUCCAUUGUGGAAGGAGAAUACUUUAAGAUAUGAUUCGAGAGUCUUUGGCCAAAGCAUAUGAAUAUGACUUAGGAAGUUUGUUCCAAAUCAUAUUCAAUUGAAUCAUAUAGAUAAGUAUCACAUUGGAUAGUAGACAUGAAACAAACUAUCACCUGAAACAAUGUGAUUAAGAGCAUUGUAUUAGAGAAGGACCGUAUUGCAUUGUAGUUGUAACUGGAUAGGUUCUCCAACCACUUCUACUUAGCUUGGGUAACCAUGAUAUGCUGCUAGGUGUCACUCAUGAUUUGUGGAAGCCCUAAAGAUUACCAAACACUAAUUUUAAGGGAGAAUUGAAAUGUGGUUUCAAUUCACAAUCGAUCGUUAAGAGUAACAAUCGCCCACUAGCUCGCUAAAUGGAUCCUAAUGGAUCGUACACCGAGUAAGGAUGUUGGUGAAGAAAUUAAAUGAAAUGGAUAAGCAAUUAAAUGGUUUAAUUGAAGAAUGGUCAAGGUUAAUUAAUUAGUUAAUUAAUUAUACGAAAUGUUCGUAUUGGGCUUAUAUGUUGGUUUUGGGUUUCGGGGCCCAAAAAUGUUUUGGUCCACAAGGCCCAUUAUGUUUAAGUUGUAUGACAACUAAAACAAAAUGGGCAAUUAGCCCAAUCAAUUUGAUAUGGCCGGCCAUUAGGGUGAGAAGUGUCAAACUUGGAUUAAUUACAAGUUUGCCACUCACAUGUGAUGAAGUAUAAAUUCAACUUUAUAGCUUUAUUUUCAUUUAGGGUUUUCUUUGAGGCAAAGAGGUGAAACAUUUUCUCUCUUUUCUCUACAAGGAGGCCGGCCACUUAGAGAGGAUUUAGCUAGCAAUAUUUUCUUCUCUAAGUCAUCCAUUUCAUCUUCACAUCUCAUCCUUGGUGUGGAGACUUAGAGACACCAAACCUUUGGUGUUUUUGGAGAUCCUUUCCUUACAUCCUCAAGGAGCAAAGGAGCACAAAAGGGAAGGAAAUCACAAGGAAGAUCCAAGGAACUAGGAGGUGACUUGAAGGCCCUCCACUUGGGUGAAUCCCUUGUGUAAACAAGGAUGAGCUUCAAGGGUAAUAAAUCUCUAAAUCUUACCUUCUCUUUAAUGUUGUUAAAGAGUCUUAUGGUUCACCAUUCACUAGGCUUUGAAAGUCAUGGGUUUUAUGAAUUUUUUUGAAUGCAUGCCUAUUUUAAUGUGUUAAUAGUUUGCAUAUGUAUUCAAAUGUUCUUACUUGUUCUUAGUUAGGACAAAAUUUUUCCUCCAAGUGGUAUCAGAGCCUAGGCUAGUUUAUGGUGAAUCCUUUUGGGUUUUGUGAUUUUUCAUGAUUUGUGAUUUAAAUGUUGUAAAUGUUACAAGCUUUGUUCUUGCUUUGAAUAUAAAUUUUGCUUGAAAAUUUAGCAUCUCAAAUGUUGUAGAUGUAUUUCAUUUAAGCAUGAAUAUUGGAACUAAAAUUUGGUGCCAUGUUUGUUGGGAAAUUCGGCCAUAUCCAAAGGGUGGUUUUUUGGGUUCAUGUUUGUCUUGUUAAAAUGGUUUUAAAGUGACUUUUGGAACCCCUAAGUACCCUAGGAUAUUAACCCUCUUUUAUGUUGUGAAAAUUUGAGUUUUAAUGAGUGAAAACAUUCAUGGAGCUCUUAUGAGUUUUCAUGUGUGUUCUUCAAUGUUCUUGAGUUUCUUACCAAGAACAAAAAGGUUUGGAAUUUUGAUUCAAAGUGUUUGGUGUUUUUCAUAAAGUUUUGGUUUAUUUUUUAUGGGUGAUGGAUUAUUGGUGAGGAUGAUAAAUGCUAUUAAUGUUUCACAAAACAUUUCUCUUACAACCCAUCUCAUUCACCUUUAUCCUCACCCACCUAUUUCACUUGCAUAUUGCACAUGCAUGCACCACUUGCACAAAAUCCCUUUCACACUCCUUUUCACUCUAAAAACCGGCCAACCCCAAGUGGGGGGUAAUUUUGGGCCUUUUGUGCAAUUACAUAAAGUUUUGAUACUUUUGUGUUUUUGUAUUUUGGCCCAAAAGUUUACGUUUUUACGUUAAGGCCCAAAAACUCUAAAGGACAAAUUGUUUUGCUCCUUUAAUAAUGUUUUUACAUUAUUAAAAUUUUGGGUUCUAGUUGUAAUUACAUGAAGUUGUGGACUCUUGUGUUUUUACAAAGUGACCCCAAAAGUUUUUGUUUAUUAAAUAAUGGCCCAAUUGUUGAGGUCAUUGUUUUUGGCCCAAAUAAGAUGAGAACAAAAUGGUUUUGUCUCUUUAAAUGAGAAUUGGAUUUUCAUUUUAUUUAGUUCCAUUUAAAUCAAUUCUAUGAAUCUGAAAACCAAUUGUUUAAGUUGCUUUCUUAGUUAAUGUGAUUGAUUAAGAAAAGGGUGAUUAUGAACCAAAGGCCUCGAUAAUUGAGCUAUGUGAUUGGCCGCUUUACAUUAUGAAUGUUUGGGUUUAGUAGUGUAGAAUUGAAUGUAAUUUGAUUAGUUCAAAUUUGUUGUAAAUGGACAUAAGUCCAUCAUUUGUGUUGUAAAAGGGCAUAAGCCCUUCUUAUUAUUUCAUGUAUUCCUUUUUUGUUUAAAUGUAUGCAAAUUGGAAUAGUUGGGUCCAACGCCCAAUAGGAAAUAACGGUUUAAUUAGAUUAAACGCGUAACUAAAAUCAACAACUAUCUACCUUAAACCCAAGGUCCAACACAAGGCUCGUGUUGGAUCAAAUCAAACGGUUCAUAAUCAUCCUAAAACCUAAUAUGACUAUAUAGUCCAUAUGAGGAUGCAAUGAGUUCGUUAGUAGUUCCAUAUAGUCUAGCUUGUUUCAACGAAACAGUGGUAGUAUUAUAUGCUACUAAUUCAUAUUAACUUGGACCAAUAGUUGUGAUAGGCCCAAGUUCUUUUAAUAAGAUUAAAAUGAUUUUGAUGUAGCCCAAUACCACUCCCUCAACAAAACGAAUAUUAAGUUGAUAAGCGAGAGAUGUUUUGAACAUCUCUUCGUAGGCCUUCCACCGUGAUGGGCUCCAAUCGUUUGUGACUCAUACACCGGCUUUACCCUAUAAUGGGGAAGUUCAAAGUAUGUGCUUACAUCCAGGAGGAGUCCAUAAACAUAUAUGAUGAAGUGAGUGUAGACAACGAGUAUGACCAACAUGAUAUAAUUAUGAGGUUGUGCUUGAACCCCUACAUCAACUAGCAUGGUGGGAAUGACUUAACUAAGUGCAAUGGUGCCAAAAUGAUAUAAUUCUGAGGCAAUCAUUCUCUAGAGGCCAAAACAGAUGGGUAAUUACAAAAGUUGUAAAUGGCUAAGAGUUAUCCUCUCAUCAUUAUUGUUGCUAGCCAAAAUGAUAUAAUUCUGAGGUGGGCUUGGUAAUGAUGAGCCUCCCAUACCCCGCUAAGAGUUCAUCACAACUCUCGAAUUCCAUUGAGGGAUGUGGAAUUUGCCAAAAAUAGUGGGUGGUACUAUUUGAUUUAAGACCCAAUCAAGUAGUUUUAAAAUCAACAAUCUAAUACGAUUUCUGUUAUGUUAUGUAGUUAACGACAUACCUAAAAUUACACCCACCAUUAUACUUGACAAGAAGGGCCUUAGGGGCCAACGUUUCCUUGCUUGGUAUCGCCAUAUUGAGAAUGUCUCAAAGGUGAUAGACAUAUUGUAUGUGCUUAAGCAAUCCCCUCAUCAUGUACCUCCUACGAAACUAGCUUCAAAGGAGGAGUGUCAAAAUUAUGAUAGACACUAUGAGGAUGACUUACAAGCCAAAUGCUUAAUCCUCACUUCACUUAGUAUGGAGCUUAUGAAGCAACAUGAGCACAUGGACACUUCUUGUGCCAUGGUUGAAAGUUUGCAUAAGAUGCAUGACAUUAAGACUAGUAAUGUACGAUUCUCAAAUGUUUGUAGUCUAUUGAAUGCCAAAAUGGCAAAGGGGGCAUCGGUUCAUAAACAUGGACAAAAGAUGGAAAGGAUCUUUCAAGAUCUUGAAAGUUUAGGAACUUCCAUCGAUGGGAAAAUGGCCCAAGACUUUUUCCUUGCAUCUCUCUCGGAUGAUUUCACUAAGUUUAUUGUAAACUAUAAAGUGAAUAGAUUCAAUCAUACUUUUACAGAGAUGAUUGACAUGUGCUGUAAGUUUGAACAAGGUUUCAAAAAGGACAGUGGGAGUGAGAAUGCAAUCACAAGGAAAAGGUUGCAUAAGAAGAAGGCAAGAAAAUCCAAAGAAACAUGCUUUCACUGUGGAAAGGAUGAACGUUGGAAGAAGAAAUACAGGGUGCGUAUUGCGAGCCUUAUGACAAGAACUUUUGAAGGGACUAUUUCUGUCAUAGAGAGUGUUUUUACAAUGAGCUCCAAUUCCUGGAUAUUUGAUUCAGGCGCUAGUUAACAUAUCUGCAAUUCGUUGCAAGGACUAACAGGGAGCAGGACAUUGCGCAAUGGGGAGAUGAUUGUGCGAGUUGGGAACGGCACUAAGAUCUCUGCUAAAGCAAUAGGCACCUACAUGCUUAAACUGCCCUCUGGGGAAGUCUUGGAACUUAAAAAUUGUUUAUAUUUUCCUUCAUGUAUAAAGAAUUUGAUUUCUAUCUCUAAGCUUUUAUGAGAUGGGCACUCAGUAUUGUUUGACAAAAUGAGUUGCACUUUAUACUUGAACGGUCGUAUUAUCUCUCAUGGUAAUAUGAUAGAGGGACUUUUUCACCUAGAGACAAACAGUGGAAUGCACUGUAUUGAAAGCGGGAAUACCUCAAAACCCAAAAGGGCUAGAGAAGAAGUUAACCAAAUUAGACUUUGGCAUCUUAAACUUGGACAUGUAAACCAAGAUAAGAUUCGCAAGAUGUCGAAAGACGGAUAUCUUAGUCCAUUAGGUAAUGACCUCAUGGGCACUUGUGAACCUUGUCUACUUGGGAAGAUGACCAAAUCUCCAUUCACUGGGAAAGGAGAGCGUGCCACUGAAAUUCUUGGGUUAAUCCACACUGACGUAUGUGGACCUAUGUCUACUACGUCGAGAGAAGGCUUCUCCUACUAUAUCACAUUCACCGACGAUCACUCUCGGUUUGGCUAUGUGUAUCUUAUGAAGUACAAGUCAGAAUCCUUUGAAAGGUUCAAAGAAUACAAGAAUAAAGUUGAGAAGCAAACUGGGAAACAGAUAAAGAUCCUAAGAUCAAAUUGAGGGGGAGAGUAUCUAAGUAACGAGUUCCUAGAUUAUCUCAAAGAGUGUGGAAUAGUAUCACAGUGGAGUCCACCAGGAACUCCUCAACAUAACGGAGUUUCUGAGAGGAGAAACCGAACCUUGAUGAACAUGGUUCGUUCUAUGAUGAGUUCCGCUGAUCUACCAAUAUCAUUAUGGGGAUAUGCACUACACACAGCAGCUUAUUUGCUGAAUGCAGUGCCUUCUAAAUCUGUUCCACAAACACCAUAUGAGAUAUGGUAUGGGAAGAAGCCAAGUCUUAAACACGUUAAGAUUUGGGGUUGUCCAGCAUACGUUAAGAAACAAGAUGUUGGAAAGCUUGAAGCAAGAUCUGUUAAAUGCUAUUUUGUGGGGUAUCCUAAACAAACCCAUGGAUACGAAUUCUAUCACCCUGACGACCAGAAAGUCUUUGUCGCCAGAACUGCUAUAUUCAUGGAGGAUGAAUUCGUUCUUAAUGGAACUAGCAAAACAAAGAUAGAAUUGAAGGAAAUUAAUGAGAUUAAUGAUGAACCGCAAACAAGCACUCGAGAAGUUGACAACCCUGUUCCUGAACCCCUAGCUCCACGUAGAUCUGAAAGGGUUAGUAAGCCACCUAAGAGGUAUGGCUUAGAUAAUGACUUUGGGGAAUUGCACCUUCUAGGUGACAAUGACACAAAGGAAGAUCCUAGAGACUACACUGAAGCAAUGUCCGACAUUGAUUCAAAGAGAUGGCAAGAGGCCAUGAAAUUCGAGAUGGAUUCCAUGUAUCAAAAUCAGGUCUAGACUCUUGUAGACCCUCCAGAAGGUAUAAUACCUGUUGGAAACAAAUGGGUCUUCAAGAGGAAGAUAGGCGUUGAUGGGAACGUGGAGACUUAUAAGGCUAGACUAGUAGCCAAGGGUUACAGGCAAAUAGAAGGGAUUGACUAUGAAGAAACCUUUUCUCCUGUAGCCAUGAUUAAGUCCAUUCGGAUUUUACUUGCUAUAACUGCGUACCAUGAUUAUGAGAUCUGGCAAAUGGACGUGAAUACGGCCUUUCUGAAUGGCUACCUAGAGGAAGAGCUUUAUACGACUCAACCCGAAGGUUUCGUGUCCAAGUCUGAAAAGACUAAGGUAUGCAAGCUUCAGAGGUCCAUUUAUGGACUUAAGCAAGCCUCCAGGAGCUGGAACAUUCGUUUCGAUACUGAAAUCAAAACCUUUGGUUUUACUCAAAACGAAGACGACAAUACGACAAUUGUGUUUAUCAAAAAGUCGUUGGGGAUGCAGUGGUAUUCCUAGUGUUAUAUGUAGAUGACAUAUUACUAUUCGGGAAUGACACUGCAGUACUUUCUUCUGUAAAAGUGUGGUUGUCCAAAACCUUCCACAUGAAAGAUUUAGGAGAUGCAUCUUAUGUACUUGGGAUAAAGCUCUAUCGUGAUAGAUCCAUAAAAUUAAUUGGAUUAUCCCAAUCUAUGUACAUUGAUAAGGUGCUAAGUAGGUUCCAGAUGGAACAAUCUAAGAAAGGUUUUCUUCCUGUGAGACAUGAAAUUCACCUUUCUAAGUCCAUGGAACCUAAGACUCCUGAAGAGAUACGGCAAAUGAGUAUUGUUCCUUAUGCUUCAGCCAUAGGAAGUCUCAUGUAGGCCAUGAUAUGCACAAGGCCGGAUAUCGCAUAUGCUGUGAGCAUUACUAGUCAAUACCAAUCUAACUCAGGAUCAGAACACUGGGCAGCUGUCAAGACGGUCCUUAAGUACUUAAGAAAAACUAAGGACAUGUUCCUCGUUUAUGGAGGAGCAACAGAGUUGCGAGUGGAAGCCUAUACAAAUGCAGAUUUCCAAUCUGACGUCGAUGAUAGAAGUUCCAACUCCGGAUAUGUAUUCACUCUAAAUGGUGGGGCUAUCAGUUGGAAGAGCAAGAAACAAAGUGUAAUUGCAGAUUCUACGACAGAGGCUGAAUAUGUCGCUGCAGCUGAAGCCGGCAAAGAAGCCUUCUGGAUGAAGAAGUUCAUAAAUGAACUUGGAGUGGUUCCAACCAUUACAUCUUCAGUAACUUUGUAUUGUGAUAAUAGUGGGGUGAUAGCUCAAGCUAAGGAACCCAGGGCUCAUCAAAAGAACAAGCAUUUUGACAGGCACUUUAAUAUCAUUAUGCUGCCGAGGGGAAAGUCAACAUCCUCAAAGUUGCCUCAGCAGAUAACGUAGCAGAUCCACUGACAAAGCCAAUGUCUCAAAUCCAACUUGACCGUCAUAUGGAAAAGAUGGGUAUUAGAUACAUGGGAAGGUGGCUUUGAGUGCAAGUGGGAAAUUGUUGGAAGUAUGCCCACAAAGCCACUCAUUUGAUGUAAUAGCUUUUGGAAUACUUCUUGUAUUAAACUUUUAUAUGUUUAAUGAAGGGCAAAGCUUAUUUUUAAUCACUAUUUAUUGUAUCAUGUGGUUAAGCAAUAAGGGAAUCCAAGGAAUGUAUUUGAUCUAAGAGAUAAGUGAUUUAAGUAAGUUAGAUUAUCGAGACCUUUCUUUUAUGUUCAUUCCUAAAACGUUCCUAGCCAUAGGAUUGCCAAUUGGGCAUUGACAAUCCGCUAAGGUUAGUAUGUGUUAUGUCGACUCAAUCGCGAGUAUGACAAGUCUCAAGUCAUUUAGUGUUGGACACUAAGGCAAACACAUAGGUGCUCGAAAGAGUGAUCGAGUACACUGAACAACGAUCAAAAGAAAGUUUGAACAUACAUGUCAUGUAAGAACUCGAAAGUUCCAAAAUGCAAAGUAGUCCUUUGACCUGAGGCAUCAUUGAUGUCUAAUGGUUAGGUCAUUGAUCUUUGAUCAUGUUAAAGGCAUUCCAUUGGAGUGUCCAUGGCAUUGUUGUAGUCAAGCUACCUAGUCAUGUAGGCAUAUGAAUGCACAACAAGGAAUCUCUAACCUUCCAUGGUGGAAGGAGAAUACUCUAAGAUAUGAUUCGAGAGUCUUUGGCCAAAGCAUAUGAAUAUGACUUAGGAAGUUUGUUCCAAAUCAUAUUCAAUUGAAUCAUAUAGAUAAGUAUCACAUUGGAUAGUAGACAUGAAACAAACUAUCACCUGAAACAAUGUGAUUAAGAGCAUUGUAUUAGAGAAGGACUGUAUUGCAUUGUAGUUGUAACUGGAUAGGUUCUCCAACCACUUCUACUUAGCUUGGGUAACCAUGAUAUGCUGCUAGGUGUCACUCAUGGUUUGUGGAAGCCCUAAAGAUUAGCAAACACUAAUUUUAAGGGAGAAUUGAAAUAUGGUUUCAAUUCACAAUCGAUCGUUAAGAGUAACAAUCACCCACUACCUCGCUAAAUGGAACCGAAUGGAUCGUACACCGAGUAAGGAUGUUGGUGAAGAAAUUAAAUGAAAUGGAUAAGCAAUUAAAUGGUUUAAUUGAAGAAUGGUCAAGGUUAAUUAAUUAGUUAAUUAAUUAUACGAAAUGUUCGUAUUGGGCUUAUAUGUUGGUUUUGGGUUUCGGGGCCCAAAAACGUUUUGGUCCACAAGGCCCAUUAUGUUUAAGUUGUAUGACAACUAAAACAAAAUGGGCAAUUAGCCCAAUCAAUUUGAUAUGGCCGGCCAUUAGGGUGAGAAGUGUCAAACUUGGAUUAAUUACAAGUUUGCCACUCACAUGUGAUGAAGUAUAAAUUCAACUUUCUAGCUUUAUUUUCAUUUAGGGUUUUCUUUGAGGCAAAGAGGUGAAACAUUUUCUCUCUUUCUACAAGGAGGCCGGCCACUUAGAGAGGAUUUAGCUAGCAAUCUUUUCUUCUCUAAGUCAUCCAUUUCAUCUUCACAUCUCAUCCUUGGUGUGGAGACUUAGAGACACCAAACCUUUGGUGUUUUUGGAGAUCCUUUCCUUACAUCCUCAAGGAGCAAAGGAGCACAAAAGGGAAGGAAAUCACAAGGAAGAUCCAAGGAACUAGGAGGUGACUUGAAGGCCCUCCACUUGGGUGAAUCCCUUGUAUAAACAAGGAUGAGCUUCAAGGGUAAUAAAUCUCUAAAUCUUACCUUCUCUUUAAUGUUGUUAAAGAGUCUUAUGGUUCACCAUUCACUAGGCUUUGAAAGUCAUGGGUUUUAUGAAUUGUUUUUUAAUGCAUGCCUACUUUAAUGUGUUAAUAGUUUGCAUAUGUAUUCAAAUGUUCUUACUUGUUCUUAGCUAGGACAAAAUUUUUCCUUCACAUUGCUGCACCUAGUGUUAGUGCUUGCCCAGGGCUAGGACCAGUCUUUCAAGUGUAUGUUCACAUCCACACCACACAUUCGCUUUGGAUGCAAGUAGGUGCCAGUUAUGUCGUAUAGGUUGCAAUAGGCAACUCCGACUUGUAUGUGACCGCGAAUAGCGCCAGUCUUCACGUGAUUGUAGCACUAGAGCGUAUAUUAUGAUUACACCUGGUCUUGUUCAUGUCAGAAAUCCUCUACAUGAACUCAUGUGUCAGCAUAGAUUGAUGAGCACCUGAUUUUAUUAUGCUACUAUUGUUGUAGAGCCAAAAAAUAAUCACAAGGUGACACGUGGAUUUUUGGGUAAAAGAGAACAAAAAUACCCUUGAGGCAUACUGGGAUUCCUACGCGUGAGCAGCGGACAAUCAUUCGUCAAUCAAGUCAAAAGUGUCCAAAAUAGGUAACAAAUUUAAAGAUAUUCUCAUCCAUCCUCAUCUAGGUAAUUAUUUUAUAACCUACAUAACAUUCCAUUUAAGUGGAGGCUAAUUGGCUAAUUAAUGGAUUAAUUCCUAAUUAAUCCAUUAAUCACCAAUUAAAUCAUUCAAAGAAGGCCGGUCAUGCUCUAUAGGACUCCAUUUUCUCUAAAAAGCUAGGUCCACACUCUUGCAAAACUCCAAAAACUCUCUAAACACUUUUUCUCUCUCUAAAUUCUAAUUUUGGCAUCGGAGGUUCUUCGGCCAAAGCCUCCCGCAUUCAUUGUGGGCGCGUGAGGCUUUUGGCCUUAACCAAAGGUGUUAGUUGUUUUGUAGGUGCAAUUUUGUCCAAGAUCAAGGAGGAAGAAAUUUGCAUCCACAAUUGUGAUAUUAUGAUUUGGCAUAUUUCUGGAUUUAUUGUUGAUUUACAUUUGAUUUCAUACUUAUAUGUAGUAUGAUUUUUUGGAAACUAUACAGGUUUUACGGCGAGGGGUUAGUAUGUUUAGAAAAUAAAUGUGUUUUAUAAACAUUUGUUUUUACCCACUCACCCUUCUAUUUUUCGCUCCUACAGGUCCUAGUUAAUUAAGUACUAUAUGGCGUACGAGGAAUAUCCGGCGGUUCUUACAUACCCGUAAAUAAAUGUAGGAGCUUUUCUUGUUGUGUAAUAAGCACUUUAACUAGUUUUGACCGCACACUUUCAUGCCAUCUAUGCUCUGAACACUUGUAUUUUCUGGGUUCUUCCCACUACUGCGUGUUAUGGGUUCUUCCCACUAUUGCGCACUCACCCCUUUAGAUUAAAUAAAUGUUAGCUUUGGUUUUAAUUUAUCCAUAUUUUUAUGCUUCAUUUUCCUUUUGGUUACGUCACCUUCGGCCGACGGCCAGCAUGCCUUGACUCCAGCUGGGGUGUGUCAGUUUGGUAUUAGAGCAUAGGUUUAGCAAUCUUACAUUCCUUGUAUGUGUUAUACAUCCUAAUAAUUUUUAAUCUUUUAUGUCAGAAUCAUGCCACCUUGUAGAGCGACACUCGUCCCUUCUAAGACUAAUUUUCCUGAUUUUGGGUAGCUCGUUGAGGCUAUCGCCAACUAGGGGUGGUAUUGGUACGAUUACUGUACCAAAACCCAUGUACCAAUUACUAUACCAAACUUUUGGUAUGAUAAAAUAUAUUACCAUUACCGUGCCAAACUUUCGGUAUACCGAAUUUCGGCAUGCCAAAUAGUUCGGUUGACAGGUAUGGUAAUGGUAAUUACCACUUUGUUUUGGGUCAAAAUUUGAUUUUUUUUUUCCAACCCAAUUCAAAGCCCAAAUGUGUUUUGGCCACUCACUUUGGCUUUCUAAAACUUUUUUAUUUAAUUAUGAGAAUUUUAUAGAGAUUUAUUUAAGAAACAAGAAGUAAAUAGAUGGAAGAAUUGCUGAAAGAACCCAACAUCCCUGAAAAAAAUAGUACAAAGAUUCUUAAAUUCCAUCUCUACAUUCUUUAAAAUUGUACAAAAAUUAACUUGAUAGACAAAGCCAAUGAGAAAGACUUCCUAAUUUGAUGGAGGAGAAGACGAGAUGGACUGCGAAGAGAGAGAGAGAGAGAGAGAGAGUCGCCAGAACGGGAGCAACAGAGAUGAAGCCGAUGGCUAGAUGGGUGAAAAGAUGAAAAGUUGCAGCAUAAGAAGGAUUAGUUUUUUUAUUGGGAAAGUAGAGGUUAGAGGGUGAGACAAUUAGAUAAAUGACUAGGUAAAAAAUAUGAAGUGCAUAUAUAAUGAUAAUAAUACCUAAUUAUAUAUAGAUGAAUAAAUAAAUGAUAUAAUAUUAAUAGUAGUCGUAUGGUACGGUAUACCAUUGGUAAUGGUUUUGAAUACCAUUACCGACCGAAAAUGUAUGGUGCGGUACAAAUACCAUACCAUUACCAAUGGUAUAAUUUUUUGGCACAACUUUGGUAUGGUACAGUUGGUAUGGUAAUUUGGCAAAAAAUUCCACCCCUAUCGCCAACGCCAUUUAGUCUACUCUUCGUUCUCCCCAAUGCACUACCUUAGAGACCAUAUACCAUCUUCAGAUAUCGACCAUGUUGAGAAGACCUUUCGCAUUAUACAGCGACAGAGGAAUCUUCCAGCGAAGAGAUGGGUCGAGACAACAACUUGGUUCUUUCGUCUGGGAGUGGAAUCAUGGUGGGCUCAGUACUCACGCCAGUUGUCUGCUCAAGAUGCCAUGAAUUGGGAUGUUUUCAGACACCUAUUUGAGGCUAGAUUCACACCUCUAAAAUACAAGGAUCAGAAGAAAAACGAAUUCACGGAGUUGAAGCAAGGUAAAAUGUCAAUCAUAGAGUACCACCGAAAGUUCACUGACUUAUCCCGUUAUAGUCCCGAGAUUAUUGGGAAUCCCAGAGAGAAGUUCUGUUAUUUUAAAAAGGGGACUCGUAAGCGACUACGUUCUUUGGCGACUUCUACUCCAUUAUCUACCUACCAAGAAUUCUUUGACAUUCUGCUUCAUGUCGAAGAUUCCGAGAAUUCUCCUGAUGAUGAUGAUGAUGAUGAGGAUAACAAUAAUGACCAGAAGAAUAAUAACAGGGGGCAAUCAUCAUUUGGCCCUCAAAAGACUUAGAGUUUCAAGAGAAGCGAUAAUAGUUCUAGUUCAUCUAGCAGUAGGUCAAAUUCUAAUAUGCCUCGAAUAGGCGGCAAGUCCACAGGUAAUUCACACUUUCAGAGUCAAAUGAACUUCAACGAUUCCGAUGCUUAGCUCUGUCAUAGAUGCAACAAUUGCCAUUAUGGUGAAUGUAAGAGGGGAAGUAAUGGAUGCUACACAUGUGGCCAGAUGGGGCACAUAGCUAAUCAAUGCCCUUAAAAUCAGAAACUUCAACCUUCUACACUAUCACCUGCAAUUCCUCUACAGCAAAUUCCAAGACCUAAUACCUACACGCCGAUAGGUUAUGGUAGUGUUUUUCACUACCAAGGUGGCAUAUCCCAGUACCCGUAAUGAGCAUAUCAGUAUCCACAUGAUCCUUAUUUCCAGGGCAACUAUCUGCAGUACCAAGGAGGUUAUACACCGUAUCAAGGUGGCGGAUCAUAGUGGUAUGCUGGAGGGCAGUACCAGAAUCUUGAUGCAGGGGUGGCUCAGCCAAGAAGCCUAAUCAAACAAAUCAAGGUUAAGGUAAUCAAGGACACGGUAACCAAAAUAAAACUAACAAGGGUCAUAGAGGUAGAUAGCAAGUGCAGGGACGCGUUAACAUUACCUAGCAGGAUGCUCAAAGUAACCCCGAUUUUCAUGGAUAUGUUGAAUGUUCUUGGCCGUUUUACUAUAAUAUUAAUUGACUUGUGUGCUACUUAUUCGGUUAUUUCCCAUAUGUUUGCUCAAAAGACUCAACUUCACCCAACUCCCCUUGGUUAUGAAUUGGAACCUUAUUCCCUUGGACAUUGUUGAUUUCGAUGUUAUCUUAGGCAUGGAUUGGUUAGAUUAUAAUCGUGCCAUGUUGAAUUGCCACCAGAAAAUUGUUACCUUCCAUCGACUGGGCAUGCCGAUUGUAACUUUUGUUAGCAAACAUAGUGGUCUGAAACACAGAGUUAUCUCUUCCGUGAAGGUGAAGUGAAUGUUGAGGAAGGGUUGUCGAGGUUACUUAGCUCAUAUAGUAAUGACUGAAGAUACUCAUGCUCGUGUGAAAGACGUGAGAGUAGUUAGACACUUUCCUAAUGUUUUUCCCAACGAUUUACCUGGCCUACCACUGGAUCGUGAAAUGGAGUUCACCAUCGACCUAAUUCCAGGUACCAAUCCUAUUUCUCCAACUCCUUAUCAUAGGGCUCCUGCAGAGUUGAGGGAAUUAAAAACUCAGUUACAAGAACUUGUUGAUAAGGGGUUUAUUCAAUAAAGCACUUCUCUUUUGGGAGCUCCAUUCUUGUUUGUGAGGAAGAAAGAUGAAACUUUGAGGCUAUGUAUCGAUUAUCUUAAUCGAGUGACGAUUAAAAACCGUUAUCUGUUGCCUCGUAUCGAUAACCUUUUUUAUCAGCUUCAUGGUGCUUGGGUUUUCUCAAAAAUUGAUCUAAAGUCCUGUUAUUAUCAGUUGAAGAUCAUAAGUGAUGAUGUUUCGAAAACAGCCUUCCGAACUCAAUAUGGUCAUUUUGAGUUUCUCAUGAUGCCAUUCGGGUUAACUAAUGCUUCAGCAGCUUUUAUGGACCUGAUGAAUCGGGUAUUUCGUCCGUACCUUUAUAGGUUGGUAAUUGUUUUCAUUGAUGCCAUUCUGGUGUAUUCUAAGAGUGAAGCUGACCAUGCUAGAUAUUUACGUCUUGUUUUGAAUAAGCUAAGGGAGAAUCAACUGUACGCUAAAUUCAGUAAAGAUUAGUUCUGGCUGGAUCAGGUGUCUUUCUUGGGACACAUGAUAUCAGCUUAAAGUGUUCUCGUGGAUCCUCAUAAAGUAACAGCAGUGGAAAAUUAGGAGCAACCUCAGAUGGUCACUGAAGUUCGAAGUUUUCUUGGUCUUGCUAGCUACUAUCGACGUUUUGUGAAAGACUUCUCGGCCAUAUCACUACCUCUGACUAGGUUGACCAGGAAUGGAGUUAAUUUUGAAUGGAGUGAUGAUUAUGAACAGAGUUUUCAACAGUUGAAGUAUUAUCUCACUCAUGCGCCUGUUCUAGCAUUUCCUGAUGAAAGUGGGAAUUUUAUAGUGACACCUCUCUAAAUGGUCUAGGUUGUGUAUUGAUGCAGCAUGGAAAGGUGAUUGCGCAUGCUUCACGACAAUUAAAACCUCAUGAAAUGAACUACCUUACUUAUGAUCUUGAAUUGGCAGCUAUUGUUUUUGCUUUAAAUUUUUGGCGGCACUAUCUUUAUGGUGAAACAUGUCGAAUCUUCACUUACCAUGAAAGCCUUAAGUAUACCUUUACUAUAAAAGAACUUAAUCUUUGGCAGCGUAGAUGGAUGAAAUUGAUCAGCAAUUAUGACUACACCAUUAAAUAUCAACUUGGUCGUACGAAUACUGUAUCAUAUACUUCAAACGAAUGACUCAGAAUCCCAAAAGUUAAAACAAGCAGUGUUGAAUGGCAGUAUGGGAGAUCUCAGGAUUCGAAGGCUUGAUGGUAUGGUUAUGCAAGGCAAUUGAAUAUAUAAACCGAAUGUGGAAGAACUGAAGAAAGAAAUACUCGAUUAGAUGCAUACCUCAACUUAGGUGAUGCAUUCUAGGAGUACUAAAAUGUAUCAUAUUAUUUGACCUUUCUACUACUGAAAUGAAAAAAAGAAAUUAUGGAGUACAUGAGUCAUUUUCCGGUUUGUCAACAAGUCAAGGUGGAAAGAAAGAAACCAUUCAGGUUGCUACAACCAAUUCUUAUACCCCAGUGGAAAUGGGAAGAUAUCAUAAUGGAUUUCGUGUACAAGCUGCCUCGUACACAAAAUGGCUAUGAAGGUAUCUGGGUGAUUGUAGAUCGGCUUACCAAUUCAGCACACUUCCUACCUAUUCGUGAAAUUACCCAUUGAGUCGGUUGGCCGAACUUUUCGUCUCUAAAAUUGUCAAUUAUCAUGGUGUUCCAGUUAAUAUCAUUUCUGAUCGGGACCCUAGAUUUACUUCGAAAUUCUGGGUAGGUUUUCAGGAAGCUCUAGGUUUGAAGUUACUCUAUAGCACAGCUUAUCAUCCUUAAAUCGAUGGGCAGUCAGAGAGAACUAUUCAGAUGUUGGAAGACAAACUGAGAUCUUCAAUCCUAUAGUUCAGAUACGUAUGGCACAAGCGCUUACCUUUGAUAGAAUUUGCCUACAACAACAGCUUUCACUCUAGCAUUGGUAUGGCACCAUUUGAGGCGCUUUAUGGGAAACCAUGCCGUACACCAUUAUGUGAAGGAAUUAUUUUGAGAAAACAUGUUCAUUUGAGCAACAUCAUAUAGCAUGCAAUUAACAAUUAAAGGCGGAAUCAUGCUUGUAUGCACUCAAAAACAAAACAUGACCAUGAAAUUCAAAGCCUAGUAGAUUGGUGAACCAAUAAUCAACUCAAAACAAAGUGAGUUGAAAUUAAUACCUUUGUAGAUUCCUCUUUGCAUAAGCAAAGGCUAAUCACCCAAAGAGAUAGGGCCUUCAUUCCUUGCUUCUUAGAUCCAUGGAUUUGGAUGGAAGAAUAGGUUCUCCAAGUUCCCAAAAUUGAGAACCUCUAAGUCUCUUCACCAAGGUUAGAUUGUAGAAGAAAUGAGUGACCUUGGAGUAGUAGGAUUGCUAGAUGUACCCUCCAAGGUGUUGGCCUUUUUAGAGAGAAAAUGGAGAGACAAUUCUCACCAAUUUUCCCCAAAAAUAAACCCUUUUAUCACUUAAUGAAUAUUUAGUUAUAAAGUCAUUUAUAUAGUCACUUCUUUAAGUGACCUAAAUAACCAAAACCCUAAUUCAUCACACUAUGGCCGGCCAUUUAGGGGAUUUUGGGCUUUUGGGCUUUAAUGAAUCUUCAUUCAUUAAAUUGUCAUACAACUUAAGUUAAUGGGCUUGACGUUCGAAGCCCAUUGGGCCUUAAGGUCCAAAACUAUCCCGAAGUCUUUAACGAACUUAUUCGUUUGAUUAAUUAACAUAUUAAUUAAUCCUUGCCAUAAAUAAAUGAUUAAACCAUUUAAUCAUUCUUACUCAUUUCCGUUUAAUCUUCAAUCUCCACCUUUUAUGGUGUGCGAUCCAUUAGGUUCCUUUUAGCGAGGUAGUGGGCGAUUAAAACCAUUUUACAUCGAUUGUGAAUUGAAACUAUUUUCAAUUCUCCCUUUAGUGAUUACACACGUUUAGGGCUUCCACAAACCAUGAGUGACACCUAGCAGCAUAUCAUGGUUACCCAAGCUAAUCAGAAGAGGAUAGAGAACCUAUUCAGUUUGGGAUUACAAAUGCAAUACGGUCCUUCUCUAAUCUAAUACUCUUGACCACAUUGUUUGGUAUGAUAGUUUAUUUAUUCAUGUCUACUAUCCAAUGUGAUUCGUGUGCUUAUAUGAUUUCCUUGAAUGUGAUUUGGAACGCAUUCCCUAAUCUCAUUCAUACUCUGGCCAGAGAUUCCAAAUCAUAUCAUAGAGUAUUCUCCCUCAACUGUUUGAAGGUUAGAGAUCCCUUGUUGCGCAUUCACUUGUCUCCAUAGCUAAGUGGCUUAACCCCAACGAUGUCGUGGACACCCCGAGGGGGUGACUUUGACAUAAUCAAAGAUCAAGGACUUAACCACAAGACAACUGUGAUGCCUCAGGUCAAAGGACUACUUUGCAUUAUCCCAACCAUGAGUUCUCAUGUGACAUGGAAUAUAAGAACUCUUCGUUGAUCACGUUCAGUGAACUCAUUCUCUAUUGAGCACCUACGUACUUGUCUUGAUGUCACACACACCAAUGACUCGAGACUAAUCACUCUCCCUGAGAGAAGACAUAGUACGUACUGAUCUUAACGGACUGUCAACGCCCAAUUGACAAUCCUAUGAUCAGGAACGUUUAGGAUGUGUCUACGAAAGAAUGGUCUCAUGAAUCUAACUUCAUUAGAUUACAUUCUCCCAAUCACAUAUUCCUUGGACUUUAUCGUUUAAGCAUAUAACAUUUAUAUGAGACGGCUCAAACAAUAAUCUGUGCCCUUUAUAUGUAAAACUAGAUUAGUUUAACAUGUGAAAUGUCCGUAAAGUAUCAUCACAUGAUUGGCUUUAGGGCACAUUUCCAACAUUAUGUUGGUCCAAGGUCGGCGAAAUAGUUUUGGUGGGCCCUGAAAUCGUAGAUGAGACGACUCAGAAUAUUCAAGUGAUAAAGGUUAAUCUGAAAGUAGCAUAGGAUCGACAAAAGAGUAUAACAGACAGACAUUCGACAAACAUAGUAUAUAAGGUUGGAGAUUGGGUAUUCUUAAAGUUGUCACCAUGGAAAGGUGUUGUAUGUUUCGGGAAGAAAGGAAAACUAAUUCCUUGUUACAUUAGACCAUAUCAGAUCAUUGAGCGAGUUGGUGAAGUUGCUUACCGACUUGAUCUACCUCCAGAAUUAUCAAGAGUGCAUAAUGUGUUCCAUGUGUCCAUGUGUCCAUGCUAUAGAGAUAUGUUUAUGAUCCGUCACAUGUGAUUCCUCCUCAUCUAUUAGAGAUUAACCCAGAUUUGACUUAUGAUGAGGUUCUAGUGACGAUUCUUGACUGGAAAGACAGAGUCUUCAAGAACAAAACCAUUCAUGUGGUGAAAGUCUUAUGGAGAAACCACUCAGUUGAGGAAGUUAAUUGGGAGACAGAUGAGCGUAUGCAAGAUCUUUAUCCACAUCCGUUCUUUAAUUAUGAUCUUUAGUAGUGUUGAAAUUUCGGGGACGAAAUUUUCUUAAGGGGGUAGGUUGUGACGACCCGUCCCUAAUUUUCCAUGUAAUUUUCUCCCCGAGUGUAUAAAUUGACAUUUAUGCCUUUUUUGCAAAAGUAGAACUUGACAUGGACGUAAUUUUUCGGCUUUUAAAUUAUUUUCUCGUUAUUGUAAAUAAAUAGUACUCGUUGUUAUGAACACGUGAGCGCAAGUUAGACUUGAAACGGACUUGUUACGAAAAAGUCACGUUUAAUUAAAAUGCGUUAACAAUGGGUAGAUUUGUACACGUGUGCAUUAAUUUUUCAGUGUAGGAAACACUGUUUUUGACAAAGGGACAGAUUUUGUGUAAUCUGAAAUUGUACAAAAUCUUAUCUUUUUCCCUAUUUUUAAAACUUGUCCCGUGCCCUUUUUCCCUCAGCCACCAAUCAACUUUAUUCUCAUUUCUUCUCACCCAAUCUGACAUCACUUCCUCUCUCUUCUUCUCAGCCAAUCAGAAAAGUUCUCUCUCUCUCAUUUUCUCCUUCUCUCUCUCCCUCACCGUAACUCCCUCAUCUCUGCAACACCAAGGAUCACCAUUAAACUUUAUAGAUCGACCUUAAAAUUACGAACACAUUCGUACGAACCGAUCACGAAAUGGAUGAGUUUUGAGUGUCAACUCAAAGCAACAAGGAGCUCCGACUCAGGUGGAGUUUUCCCCAGCAUUUUUUAGUUCGAGUUACAAGAUUUUGGGAGUUUUGGAAGCAUCUACUCAACUCCUCGAGGCCAUUAGCCUAGUUUUGAAGUGGAGCUGACGAGGAAACCCACGGGUAUAAGAAGUCGAGUUUAGGUUUGAGGCUAUCCAGUCUACUUUGAUCCAUUUCCCAUCUAUUUUUGGACUUUUGAAAGGUACAAUCUUGUUCUAAUCAUCACAAGCUUCAUUUCUAUAUAAAGUUUGUCAAAAACAAUUGAGAAAUGAAGAAUAUAUGAAGUUUUCAAAAAAUUUCCAAAAACUAACGACUUUUUCCAACAUCCGGCUAACCAGCCAGUGGCAGCGGUGGAGGACCAUUGGAGAAGAGGAAGAAUAUUCCGUCAAAGUUGACGGAAUAUUCUGAUGCCGUCAGGUAACGCCAUUAACUGACGCCGUUACCGUUAGUGGAAUAUUCUGUCAUGUCUAACAUGCAUAUACAAUUCAAAAUUUAUAUACAUUUGCAACAGAAGCAUGUUAUCACAUAAUAUCAAAGUUAUAGUCAUGCAAAUCCCCUUCAAGAAGCAUAGGUUCAUAUAUGAUGCAUCUAAGAAAAUAUUGAAGAACAAAGUGAAGGUAUAGUUUUAUACCUCUUGAUCUAGACUUGAGAUCAAGGAUGGACCACCUCCAAGCUCUUUGUUCUUGGAACUCCUUGAGUCUAGCCUCCCUCCUUGCUUACUCCACCUUGAUAGAUUUAGAGCUCCUUUGAUUCUCCUCUAGUCUCCAAAGUAGAAGACCUCUAAAGAUCCACACCCAUUAGUGUAGUGAGUUGGAUGUUGGAAUAACCAAAAAGGAGAAAAGAUGAUUAGCUAUUUCUCCCUUAUGGUGGCCGGCUAUAGGGUGUGUAGAGAGAGAGAGAGAGAGAGAGAGAGUUUUGUUUUCUCUUGUUGAAAAAACACACAAAAACCCUAAUGAAACUUUUUCACUAAACUUCCUUUAUAAAGGUCAAAGAAGUAAGUCAACCACUUGACUCCCUUAUCUCUCCUUUCACUUGUAUUGGCCGGCCCCCUUAGUGUGGGUUUUGACUUUGGGCUUUCAUCAUCUCAAGUCAUUCUAUGCUUGAAUAAAAGGAUUCAAUUCGAUUGGGCCCAAUGGGCCCGAAUGAACCCGAACUUUUCUUUAAGUCCUAAACGAUCUUUUAUCGUUUAUAUGAUUUCUUUAGACUUUCUAAUUAAUCAUAACACUUAAUUAAUCCAAUUAAUUAAUUCCAUCAUCCUUUAGUUGUCUCACCACAAGAGUGUUUCGGUGUACAAUCAUUUUAGGUUCUAAUUAGCAAAGCAGUGAGGUGAUUGGUAUCAAUCCAAUUGAUUAUUAUUUAUCCAAUCACUUAGUGAAUAAAAACUUACUUUUAAUUCUCCUUCUUCUUUGAUGAAUACUUAUUUAAUCAUCUAGAAGAACUCACAAGCCAUGAGUGACAUCUAACCAUAUAUCAUGGCUACCCAAGCUAAUGUAGAAUUUGUUCGGAGAACCUAUUCGGUUGGAAUUACAAUGUAAUUCGAUCAUUCUCUAAUACAAUACUCACAAUCACAUUACUAGGGUAUGGAUAUUUAAUGUCAAACCCCUAAUGUGAUUCUAUCAUGUUAUAUGAUUCUAUUGAGUCGUAUAGGAACACUUUCCAUCAUUACGCUCAAUACUUCGGCCGAAGAUUCCUGAAUCAUAUUUUAGAGUAUUUAUCCUCUCAUAAUGAGGAUUAGAGAUCCCUUGUUGAUCAUUCACAUGCCUUUGAGAAUAAAUCACUCACCCCAACAAUGCAUAGAACACAUCCAAGAUGAGAUGUGGUCACAUCUCAUUAUCAAAUGAUCAGCAACGUAUCCCCAAGACAACUAUGAUGUCUCAGGUCAAAGGAUCACUUACAUUAUUCCAACCAGUAGAGUUACUUGCUUGACAUGUGAGUGUCCAUGCAAGUACUCUCGUUUGAUUGUGUUCAGUGAACUCAUUCCCAUAAUGAGCACUUACAUACUUGUCUUAGUGUCACUACACGAAUGGCAUGAGACUUUCCAUCCUUCCCAUUGGAAGGGGACAUAGUAUGUACUGGUCUAUGUAUUGUCAGUGUCCCUCCGACAAUCCUAUGACCAGGAACCUUUUUGGAUAUCACGGUUAUAUGAAGAAGGUCUCUGCAGUCUAACAUCAUUAGAUUACUUCUUCCAUCGAUCCAUUGUCCAUGGCUUCACUCUUUAGGACGUAUAUCGUUUAUUGAGAUAGUCCUAAUGAGUGACUUUUCCUUUUGAUGUAUUAGAGUUUUCCAUACAUAUAGACAUUGUCGUGAAAGGUUUCUUCCAAAGAUUGACUUUCAGGGCAUAUCUCAAACAAUCUCCCAUUUUCACUAAAGUCAAUCAGUAUUGCAUCUUAUAGAUGCUAGUCGAGUGAACUUGAGCUCGUAGGUUAACUAGGUUAUGCAUUAAUCCUUUUAACUUAAAAGGAUUUACUUAUUAAAUGUUUCCAAAACAUUUAAUGUUGUCUCUUCUUUGUGUUCAAAUUUGAUGAGACCUUGAUUCCAUGGCUUGAGCUAUCGCCUCAUUACGUCGUAGUAUCCUACUAACGACUUUAUAGUUUGGAUUCAAUCAUUGGUUCAUAAUGAACCCUGUCUAUUCGAAACACCCUUUGAAGCAGUUUCUAAAACUUUAAUAUAUAUCAUCAUAUAUAUUUCGUUUGUAUACUUUAUACAAACUUUUCUCCAACCUCAAGACCAUUGUAGUACCAUACUAACAAUACUUUCAUAUGAUUAGUACUUCAUCCAUCAUGAAGUUCCAUUUGUUAAAUGGGUUAUUGUCACUUUGGUUUAUAACCUAUGUGAAUGCACGCUUCCAAAGUUUCACUCUGAUGUUCCUUUCUCAAAGGUAAUAAUAUUCUAUCAGUUGCUUUGGUUCUGAUCCUGGGCCAUAACAAUAUCUUAAAGUGACAACCCUUAUGGUUUUUCACUUUUGGAUAUCAUCUCACAAGUCCAUACAUGUGUCCCUUUUGUGAUUUUGUGACAUAUUCUUUAUAAGGGUCAUGAAAGCAAUUUUUCUAAAAUAUGUAGAAAUACUUUCUCAAAUCUACAACGUUUGAGAUUCAAUUUCCUUAUACAACCUUCUUGAGACAGCCUUGAUGUAUCAAUAAGUCCAUUUCAAGUCUGUAUUUCAAAAUUGACCUUGUCACAAUUUGUCAUUUUGAGUAAACAUCAAUAUUUAUUACGUCUAUCAAAUAGACUUCAUUCAUAAUAUGUUGCUCAAAAGUAUAACAUCACUCCCAUUGACCUUGUUGUAACUAAGCAUUCAAUCGAAACCUUAAAUAAACAUAACACUUAUAUUUUCUUGAUUUGAAUGCAUAUAGCUCCCACUAACUUGUCUUGGAUCUAUUGACAAUCUUUAAGAUCCAUUAGCUUAUUGAUGAUGUCUCAACAGUUUUGGACAAUCAACAACUCUAGCUAACACAAGUUAUUUAAAUGAACAUAUACAAAAGAAUUGCUUCUCAAGUAAUCCCAUUUGAUAUGUGUGACUUGUUUUUAUCAAGUCCAUUAAUUUAAACUAUAUGGUGUCAAACAUCAUAUUUCUAGUUUUAUUCAUACUAAAACCUUUUAAAGUAGUCUUACAAGAAUUAUCCAAAUCAUUAGUGGAAGCAUGGCUCCUACUAAGGAUAUAGGAAUUUAACCAUUCCGACUAGGUGGUUGAUUUAAUUCCUUAUUAGAACUACAUAGAGCAUUAUAGUUACAUGAGGUGUCGAAAUCGGAUUGUCUUGUCAUUAAAUUAUAUGUUGUGACUCAUUUAAAAACUAUUCCCUUUUGUUUCAUCAACUUGUCCAUUUGCUAUGUACUUAGCUUGUUCUCGUAAAAGAGAAUGAUGGACAACUGCCAACAUAUAACCAUUUUAUGCUAGGUUGGUGAAACCAACAUUCAUAGAUUAUUCUUAGAAUGUUACAACAUCGAUUUUAACGCUUCGAAGAGUUUGAGACCUUUUAACAAUUAAAAUUACAAACUCAUUAAUAAUAGUGAUGCACUAUUAAUUUUAGACAACUUAUAAACCAAUCAUAUUCAAGUUUAUAUCCUUUUUCUCACCUCCCACUGUUUCUCAUGACCUUAAUGAGAAAUCGCAUUAUACAUUCAUAGUGUAUAAUUAUGAAGUAUACGGGUAGAGGACAUUGUGGAGUAGCUUAGAACCUUUUAAGCUUAUUGUUCCAACUCCACUAAGUUCAUGUCUUGUUAUUACGUAACUAAAGUCUUUAAACCUUUUAUAGAUUUAGAUACUUCAUCAUUGGUUUGAUCACUAACAUAUUUGACAUUUCUUAAAACAAUUUAAGAAUGUCCAAUUAGUUGUUCGAAACUACUAAUUGAACCAAGAGUGAUCUUGGUUAUUGUGGUUAAGUAAGUGAUAACCUUAUAAGAAACGUUUUUCUUAUGUAUUACUUAUGUCAUUAUAAUGUGAUCUUCCUUUUCUUCAAGAAAGGAAUCUCUAGACACUCUCAAUUCAUAUAGAACUCAUAUGUAGGCAAUUGGAACCAAAUGUAAAGAUUCAUUGUAUCCAUUUAUGGCCAACAUGUAAGAUCUAUCCUUAAUUGAUAAAUCCAAAGCUUGGAUUUCGCAUUAUAUAAGUGAUAUAUUUCUUGUAUCUCAACUAGAAUACAACAAGACAAUUUUUCAAUUCAUAAUACUACUUUGAGGAACAAAUUUAGUAGAAGGCAUUCAUCACAUUACAUUGAUAUGAUAAGUUAAACAUUCAUAAUGUUUUUUUACAAAAGAAUUAGCUCCUACAUUAGAGACUAAUUAUAUACCUUCAUAUAGGCACCAAAAGUGGGUCUUCCAUCAUAUGAAGCCACAUAAUAAGUUCUUAGCAAAAUAAGUAAGUUUAAAGACUAUCUUUAAUGUGCCUAACAAACUUCCUAAGUAGUUAGCAAAAAAUAAUGGUCGAACCCUUCAUUCCAUUCCUUUUUCUUUGCUCGUCCAUCUUCUACUUGGCUCCAUCACCUACAUACAAUUGCAUAAGUGAUUAGCAUUUUAUAUCAAAUAUAAAGAUUAGAAGAUCUAACAAUUAGAAUUGAAGAUAAGAACAAAACCAUACCUUGUGGCUUGUCCUUCAGAGAUUCAAGGUAUAACCUGCAAUUCCUCUUCCAAUGCCCAUCCUUUCCACAGUGGUGGCAAGUCCCCUUAGGCUCCUUUGCCUUCUUUUUCUUCACUCCUCCUUGUGCCUUAGGAGUGGGUGACUUCUUCUCCUUUCCUUUGCCUUUGCCUUUCGGCUUAGCCUUGGAAAUGGAUGGCUUAUUAUAGGCUACUGCAGCAGUCCCUACAAUGUUCUCUUUCUUCAUAGUCUUCUUAGCGGUUACUAACAGGUUUAGUAACUCGGAGAGAGUGUUAUCCAUCUUGUUCAUGUUGUAGUUCAUGACGAACUGCGAGAAUGAAUCAGAAAGAGAAGCCAAGAUGAAGUCCUGAGCCAACUCCCCGUCAAGUGGAGUCCCUAGGUUCUCCAAUCGUUCAAUGAGUCCAAUCAUCUUCAGUACAUGUUGAUGCACUGGAGCUCCCUUGACCAUUUUGGUCUUCACAAGUUCACUGACAGUGCUGAAGCGACGAUUGCGCGUCCUUUCACCAUAUAACUCCGUAAGAUGGAGUAUGAUGGAGGAUGCACUGUCCAUACCCUCAUGCUGUAUCUGCAGCUCCUUAUUCUUGGAAGCCAACAGAUAGCACUUGGCUUGUGUAUCAUCCUCAACGUGCUUGUCAUACUUAGCACGUUCACCCUCAAUGGCCUCAGGGCCAAGAGGUAUAUGAGGUGGAGCCUUGUCUAGUACAUAAACAAUUUUCUCCAAGGUUAGGAGAAUCUUGACAUUACGAUACCAAGAUGGGAAAUUAUGCCCCUAAAGGCAAUGCUUGUCGAGUAUCUUUGCAAGUGUGCUUCCAACCAUAUCUAAAUACAUAACAAUAAAAUAAAUUAGUUUGAUUGUUGAUUAAGUCAAACGAUUCGAGUCUUUAAACCGAAUGACACCACCCACUAUUUUUGGCAAAUUCCAUAUCCCUCAAGAUGGAAUCCGGGAGAUUUCAAUGAAAGCUCCUAGCGUGUUAUAAGAGGCUCACUAUUACCAAGCCCACCUCACGAUGAUACGAUGUCGGCUAGCAAAAAUAAUAAUGAGAGGGUAGAACUACCCAUUCACAACAACGUCUUGUGAUUACCCAUCUAAUUGGCCUCUAGAGAACAAUGCUUCACAAUGAUAUGAUGUUGGCACCAUUUCUCUUAGUUAAGUUUUGACCCACCAUGCCGGUUCAGAUAGGGGUCCAAGUAUGACCUCACGAUGAUACGAUGUCGGCCAUACUCGUUGCCUACCUUCACCACAUCAAAUGUUUAAAAUAGACUCCUCCUGAGUAUAAGCACAUACUUUGAACUCCCCCAUGAUAAGGUGAAGGCGGUGUAUGAGUCAUAAACGAUUGGAGCCUACCAUGGUGGAAGGCCACGAAGAAGUGUUCAAAAGCACCUCUCCGCUUUCAACUUAAUAGUGGAUGUUGGUUGAGGGAUUUUAAGGUCUCAUAUUUUAUUUAUUUAAUCAAAUUAUAAUAAAUUGUGUCCUAUUACAACUACUAGUCCAAAGUAAAUGAAAUUAGUAGCAUAUGAUAUCUCCACUAUUCAUUUUCAUAAAACAAAUCAAUAUCAAAACAAUUUUUCAAAAUAUUGGAGAUAUAUAUCACUACUAAUUGUGUUCAUUUUAGUUUAGUAGUGUAUGAUACUCCCACUAUUUGUUUUGAGAAAAACAAAUCAAUAUCAAAAAUCGAAUUUUUCAAAUAUUUGAAGUAACUACUACUACUAAGGUUUUUGCAUUCCUUUAAAUUUGGACUUUAUAGUUAUCUUAGGCUCUUUGGAUGACUAUGGACUUAUUAGGUUGAUUCAACAACGAGCCAACAUUGUUGAAUAAGAUCUAGGGAGGAAUGUAUCGUUUUAAUUACGCGCUUUCAAUCCAAUUAAAACAUUUUUCAUUGAGCCAUUAGAAAAGAAAGACAAUCAUUCAUUGCUAAUUAGGACGUUGGACCCAACAAAUCUUUAAUCUCAUGAAAAACCCUUUUUAAUAUGUUUCCUUACCAAUAGUUAAAGAAACUCUAGUCUAGUACUAGAGGGAAUCAACUAAUUGAAAGAGAUCAAGAAGUAAUAAGAAUUACAAACCGAUUUGUACAAAUUCCUACAAAUUACAUAUACUAAGAGGGAGAGAAAGAUUAAUGUCUAACAUGUUGAGGUCCAAUUGAAAUAGCAAUUAAAACACAUUCUCAAGGUUCAAAUCAUUUGAAUUUAGCGGCCUUUCUCAUAGCUCAAUUAUCGUUUAAGACACAAGUCCAUAGUCAACCAUUUUACUAACUACUUAAUCACAUUAAAUAAUUAAAUUGGAAUGCAACAUAAUCAAUUAGAUUUAGUACAUAUGGGCAUAAUUAUAUGAUGAGUUUAAGCUACAAACAAAAUUAAAUCAUAAUAUUUUAAUUUCAUAAAGAGGUGGGGCCGAAAUGCAAUUAUAAAAAGUUAUGGGUCAAACCGUAAAUACUAGAAAGUAUAAUCAACUUUUAAAUUACAAAAUAGCUCAUAGAGGACCCAUCAAUAGGGUGGCCGGUUAUGUGAUGGGGAGAGGGAGAGGUCCUAUCUUGUUCCCUUAGUUUCAAAAUAAAGCAAAAGCCCUAUCUUUUCCUUGUCACCACUCGUGCAAGUUGGCUUAAAAGGUAUGAUGGGUGUAAGGUCUCCUAGUCAAGUCUAGGAUUGAGUCAAUCAAGGGAAAGCUAUUGAUGGCAAGUUUACCAUCCAAAUUCAAAAAACAAAUUAUGAACACUAAAACAAAACCUUUUACACCAAAACCAAAACCAUGAACACCAAGAACAAAACCAUGAAAACAAUUUCAAGAUUUGUACUUUCUUGGUGAUCUUUCAAACCAAAAAACAAAAGUGACAAGGCCUCUACUUUCUUAGCUUCAAAGUGCGUGUGUGUGACUUAAAAUAAAACACAAACACAAGCCAAAAAAUCCCCCCAAAACCGUGCCUUCCCCUAUGGUACAUAUGCCCCAAAUUUUGUUCAAAAACUCACUCUUCAUUCAUGAAUCCAAAACACUUUUUGCAUACAUAUCUUUUCAACUCUUGAAACACAUUUUUCAACAUUUGAAAAACAAAAGAUAAACAUAUUUUGAAUGAAGAAAUAAUAUGUCAAACAUAAAAUUAAAACCCAUAUGCAUAAAAUCCAAAGGGACACAUCAAAUAUAAACAUUUGGCUUUUGAUACCACUUGAAGGGAAAUAAUGAGAUUUAUGUGGGAUUUCUAGUGACAAGCAUGCAUAUACAAUUCAAAAUUUAUAUACAUUUGCAACGGAAGCAUGUUAUCACAUAAUAUCAAAGCUAUAGUCAUGCAAAUCCCCUUCAAGAAGCAUAGGUUCAUAUAUGAUGCAUCUAAGAAAAUAUUGAAGAACAAAGUGAAGGUAUAGUUUUAAACCUCUUGAUCUAGACUUGAGACCAAGGAUGGACCACCUCCAAGCUCUUUGUUCUUGGAACUCCUUGAGUCUAGCCUCCCUCCUUGCUUCCUCCACCUUGAUAGAUUUAGAGCUCAUUUGAUUCUCCUCUAGUCUCCAAAGUAGAAGACCUCUAAAGAUCCACACCCACUAGUGUAGUGAGAUGGAUGUUGGAAUAACCAAAAAGGAGAAAAGAUGAUUAGCUAUUUCUCCCUUAUGGUGGCCGGCUAUAUGGUGUGUAGAGAGAGAGAGAGAGAGAGAGAGUUUUGUUUUCUCUUGUUGAAAAAACACACAAAAACCCUAAUGAAACUUUUUCACUAAACUUCCUUUAUAAAGGUCAAAGAAGUGAGUCAACCACUUGACUCCCUUAUCUCUCCUUUCACUUGUAUUGGCCGGCCUGUUUAGUGUGGGUUUGGACUUUUGGCUUUCAUCAUCUCAAAUCAUUCUAUGCUUGAACAAAAGGACCCAAUUCAUUUGGGCCCAAUGGGCCCGAAUGAACCCGAACUUUUCUUUAAGUCCUAAACGAUCUUUUGUCGUUUAUAUGAUUUCUUUAGACUUUCUAAUUAAUCAUAACACUUAAUUAAUCCAAUUAAUUAAUUCCAUCAUCCUUUAGUUGUCUCACCACAAGAGAGUUUCGGUGUACAAUCAUUUUAGGUUCUAAUUAGCAAGGCAGUGAGGUGAUUGGUAUCAAUCCAAUUGAUUAUUAUUUAUCCAAUCACUUAGUGAAUUAAAACUUACUUUUAAUUCUCCUUCUUCUUUGAUGAAUACUUAUUUAAUCAUCUAGAAGAACUCACAAGCCAUGGGUGACAUCUAACCAUAUAUCAUGGCUACCCAAGCUAAUGUAGAAUUUGUUCGGAGAACCUAUUCAGUUGGAAUUACAAUGUAAUUCGAUCCUUCUCUAAUACAAUACUCACAAGCACAUUACUAGGGUAUGGAUAUUUAAUUUCAAACCCCUAAUGUGAUUAUAUCAUGUUAUAUGAUUCUAUUGAGUUGUAUAGGAACGCUUAUCAUUACGCUCGAUACUUCGGCCGAAGAUUCCUGAAUCAUAUCUUAGAGUAUUCAUCCUCUCAUAACAAGGAUUAAAGAUCCCUUGUUGAUCAUUCACAUGCCUCUGAGAAUACAUCAUUGACCCCAAUAAUGCAUAGAACACAUCCAAGAUGAGAUAUGGUUAGGUCUCAUUAUCAAAUGAUCAGCAACGUAUCCCUAAGACAACUAUGAUGUCUCAGGUCAAAGGAUUACUUACAUUAUUCCAACCAGUAGAGUUACUUGCUUGACAUGUGAGUAGACCUCCAUGCAAGUACUCUCGUUUGAUUGUGUUCAGUGAACUCAUUCCCAUAAUGAGCACCUACAUACUUGUCUUAGUGUCACUACAUGAAUGGCAUGAGACUUUCCAUCCUUCCCAUUAGAAGGGGACAUAGUAUGUACUGGUCUAUGUAUUGUCAAUGUUGAAGGAAAAAUUUUGUCCUAGCUAAGAACAUGUGAGAAUAUUUGAAUACAUAUGCAAACUAUUAACACAUUAAAGUAGGCAUGCAUUCAAAACAUUUCUAAAACCCAUGACUUUCAAAGCCUAGUGAAUGGUGAACCAAUAUAUACUCUUUAACAACAUUAAAGAGAAGAAAGGAUUUAGAGUUUCAUUACCCUUGAAGCUCAUCCUUGUUUACACAAGGGAUUCACCCAAGUGGAGGGCCUUCAAGUCACCUCCUUGCUCCUUGGAUCUUCCUUGUGAUUUUCUCCCUCUUGAUGCUCCUUUGCUCCUUUGAGGAUUUGAGGAAAGGAUCUCCAAAACACCAAAAGUUUGAUGUCUCUAAGUCUCCACACCAAGGAUGAAGUGUGAAGAUGAAAUGGAUGACUUAGAGAAGAAAUGAUUGCUAGCUAAAUCCCCUCUAAGUGGCCAGCCUCUUUAGAGAAAAAGAGAGAAUAGGUUUCACCUCUUUUCAUCAAGAAAAACCCUAAUGAGAAAUAAAGCUAUAAAGUUGAUUUUAUACUUCAUUUCAAGUGAGUGGCAAACUUGUAAUUAAUCCAAGUUUGCAACCAUCACCCUUAUGGCCGGCCUUACCUUUGUUAUUGGGCUAAUUGCUCAUUUUGUUUUAGUUGUCAUACAACUUAAACAUAAUGGGCCUUGUGGACCAAAACACUUUUGGGCCCCGAAGCACAAAACCAACUUAAAAGCCCAAUACGAACAUUUCGUAUAAUUAAUUAACUAAUUAAUUAACCUUGACCAUUUUUCAAUUAAACCAUUUAAUUGCAUAUCCAUUUCAUUUAAUUUCUUCACUUUCAUCCUUACUCGGUGUACGAUCCAUUAGGUUCCAUUUAGCGAGGUAGUGGGCGAUUGUUACUCUUAACGAUCGAUUGUGAAUUGAAACUAUUUCAAUUCUCCCUUUGAUUAGUGUUUGCUAAUCUUCAAGGCUUCCACAAACCAUGAGUGACACCUAGCAGUAUGUCAUGGUUACCCAAGCUAAGUAGAAGUGGUUGGAGAACCUAUCCAGUUACAACUACAAUGCAAUACGGUCUUUCUCUAAUACAAUACUCUUAAUCACAUUGUUUGAGUGAUAGUUUGUUUCAUGUCUACUAUCCAGUGUGAUACUUCUCUAUAUGAUUCAAUUGAAUAUGAUUUGGAACAAACUUCCUAAGUCAUAUUCAUAUGCUUUGGCCAAAGACUCUCGAAUCAUAUCUUAGAGUAUUCUCCUUCCACCAUGGAAGGUUAGAGAUCCCUUGUUGCGCAUUCAUAUGCCUACAUGACUAGAUAGCUUGACCCCAACAAUGUCGUGGACACUCCAAUGGAAUGCCUUUGACAUGAUCAAAGAUCAAGGACCUAACCAUUAGACAUCUAUGAUGCCUCAGGUCAAAUGACUACUUUGCAUAUUGCAACUAUCGAGUUCUUACAUGACAUGUAUGUUCGAACUCUCUUUUGAUCGUUGUUCAGUGUACUCGAUUACUCUUUUGAGCACCUAUGUGUUUGUCUUAGUGUCCAACACUAAUUGACUUGAGACUAGUCAUACUCAUGCUUGAGUCGACAUAACACAUACUAACCUUAGUGGAUUGUCAAUGCCCAAUUGGCAAUCCUAUGGCUAGGAACAUUUUAGGAAUGAACAUAAGAGAAAGGUCUCGUUAAUCUAACUUACUUAAAUCACUUGUCUCUUAGAUCAAAUGCAUUCCUUGGAUUCUCUUAUUGCUUAAACACAUGAUACAAUAAAUAGUGAUUAACAAUAAGCUUUGCCCUUCAUUAAACAUAUAAAAGUUUAAUACAAUAAGUAUUCCAAAAGCUAUUACAUCAAAUGAGUGGCUUUGUGGGCAUACUUCCAACAAAUGUCCCUCCGACAAUCCUAUGACCAUGAACCUUUUUGGACAUCACGGUUAUGUGAAGAAGGUAUCUGCAGUCUAACAACAUUAGAUUACUUCUUCCAUCGAUCCAUUAUCCAUGGAUUCACUCUUUAGGACGUAUAUCGUUUAUUGAGAUAGUCAUAAUGAGUGACUUUGCCGUUUGAUGUAUUAGAGUUUUCCAUACAUAUAGACAUUGUCCUGAAAGGUUUCUUCCAAAGAUUGACUUUCAGGGCAUAUCUCCAACAGCUUGCGCAUGGGCAUGCGUGUGGCUAUGGGCUAGGUGGCAUGUGAGGGCGUGUUCAUCCUCCAGCCGAUGUGUGGUCGACGUGUACGGGUUCGUGACUUUGUGUAGAACAUUUUCGUAUAUUUAAACCCUUCAUUUGAGCAAACUGUGGGGGAUUUUCCUACCCCUUUUGUGUAGGUCCUAAUUAAUUAAUUAGUAAAGUUAUUUCACAUAUAGGUGAGACUUACCCCGAAGAGGUACGAGGACUAACAAGGCUAGGAGGCUACGACUCAUUGGCGUAUCAGUGAGUGGGCAUUUGUUUAUAUAUAAGGUUUUAUUGUUUCCACAUGUGCUUUUGUAUUGAUUUAUGCCUAUCAUGCCAUGCUUUAUUUAAUUUUAGAAAUGUUAUUACAUGGUUGAGAUUUAUAUACUAUCAUGGCAAGUUCAUAUACAUUUUUCCUGCUUAUCAUACAUUGCUGCACCUGGUGUUAGUGCUCGCCUAAGGCCAGGGCCAGUCUUUUACGUGUAUGUUCACAUCCACACCGCACGCUCGCCUUGGAUCCAAGUAGGUGCCAGUCAUGUCGUGCAGGUUGCAAUAGGCAACUUCGACUCGUAUGUGACCACGAAUAGCACCAAUCUUCACGUGAUUGUAGCACCAGAGCGUAUAUUAUGAUUACAUCCAGUCUUGUUCAUGUUAGAAAUUCUCUGCAUGAACUCGUGUGUUAGCAUAGAUUGAUGAGCACCUAAUUUUAUUAUGCUACUAUUGUGAUAUUGUGAUUUAUUGUAUUUCUAGAUUUAUUGUUGAUUUACAUUUGAUUUCAUACUUAUACGUAGUAUGAUUUUCUGGAAACUAUACAGGUUUUACGGCGAGAGUUUGUUCAGAAAAUAAAUGUGUUUUAUAAACCUUUGUUUUUGCCCGCUCACCCUUCUGUUUUUCACCCCUCUAGUUAGCAUACUCGCUGGCGUACGAGGAUUCCGACGGUUCUGACAUACCCUAAAUAAAUGUAGGAGCUUUUCCUGUUGUGUAGUAAGCACUUCAACUAGUUUCGAUUGCACACUUUUAUGUCAUCUAUGCUCUGAACACUUGUGUUUUAUGGGUUCUUCCCACUACUGCGCACUCGCCCCUUUAGAUUAAAUAAAUGUUAGCUUUAGUUUUAAUUUAUCCAUAAUUUUAUGCUUCACUUUCCUUUUGGUUACGUCACCUUCGAGUGAUGGCUAGCAUGCCUCGACUCCGGUUGAGGUGUGUCAUUACAUUUGUGUAGUUGUUUCAUCAGUUUUUAAUACUUCUUUCUUUGACAUCAUAAUUGUUCAUGUUUCUUCAUCUCGCUAAUCUUUCAAAUUUCUCUUGAACAUGGUCUACAUAUAACGUAUAACUCGUAUAAAAUCCAUGCAAACUAAUAAAUCAAAAAGAUAUUAAAAAAUCUUUAAGUUCAUUAGUAUUGUUUCUGCAACCUACCAAGAAUGUUACAACAGUUGGAUAAAACUAAACUCAAUGAGGCUUUUCUGUACAAACACGAUGAACACUUAACUUAAAUAUAUGCACACACUAGCGAGUAAGUUGGAGAAGCCACAAUAAAUGCAAGAGGGUAGUUUAGAGGGGAAGGCUUGUUUGACAUGGUUAUGCAAAGCAACCUAAGAUUUACCAAGGGCAACGUUGUAGGGUAAUAGAGACUCCAUCGAAAGCAACUGUUGGAAGGAGAGAAUGUUUUGAUUUUGGUUUUUUUAUUUUUCAAAUGGGUUUUAAGAUAAAUUUACAUAAUUUAUUGGGUUUGUGAGGAUAGUUUAGGUAGUAAAUUUGGGUUUAAAGAGAUAUUGAUUGUUUAAUAAAAAAUAAUAUGGGUGUAAAAAGAGGUUAGAUGAGUUCAAAUAAAAUUUCCCAUGUAAAAAUUAAAGAAUGAAUUAAUGAAAAGGAUACCAAGUUUGAUUCCUCUCUCCCUAUUCUAUCGCUUGUAUUAAGAAAAAAGGUAUUUGAUGGAUUAGUUCUCUAAAAGAUGUGAAAUGGGUAAUUUAAAUGAUUUUUGUUAAGAGUUUCUAAUUUAUAUAUAGGUUACGUGCAUUGUUAAAUUUUGGGUUUUAUUACGGUUGGUUUUUGAAAUUGGACCUUUCAAUUAAAAUGGUCUUUAAAAUAGAAAAUUCAACAAUUUGGGCAAACGGCCAUUUAUCACAGUAGUGGAAAGGUGUUGAGCCCUUGCAUGACGGUGUGGGUUCGAACUCCGUCGGUGGCUAAUCUAACAAAAUCUAUCAUUUGAUAAAAAAUAAAAAAUAAAAACAAUUUAACCCCUGAAAAUAGGUUUCGCGAAUCAAUUUAGUUAUUUUUUGUCUUUCAGUUAAAUAUAUUAUUAGUGUUCUAAUAUUGACACACCUCGACCGAGAUCAAAGCAUGGCUAAUCUAACAAAAUCUAUCAUUUGAUAAAAAAUAAAAAAUAAAAACAAUUUAACCCCUGAAAAUAGGUUUCGCGAAUCAAUUUAGUUAUUUUUUGUCUUUCAGUUAAAUAUAUUAUUAGUGUUCUAAUAUUGACACACCUCGACCGAGAUCAAAGCAUGUUGGCCGUCAUGUGAGGGUGACGUAGCCAUGUGCACAGUGCGAAAGCGAUAAAGAUAAGAGUUAUACGAAUAAACAAAAACCGAAAGCUACUAAUGUGCACUAAUAAACAAGAAGUGUUAAGAGUGAGAUACAAGUGUAAAUACUCCUAAUCAGAGCAUAGAAAGUCUAGGUGGUCCAGUAGGACGAGUACUAAUUAUACAGUACCAUAAGAUGUCCUACAAUUAUUUAUAUAUGUCAGAAUCCUCAUACUCCACCAACACUAGUCUACCUAAAACCUGGAGGGGCGCAAAACAGAAAAUGUGGGUGGGAAAAAACAAAUGUUUUACAAAACCAUUUCAUUUCUUAACAAUUCUAACCCCUCGCUGUAAAACAUGUAUAAUUUUUCCCAGAAAUAGAAUAUAAGCAUAUGCAUAAAUAUAUAUACGUAAAUAUAUCAAUUCAAUUCAUGCUUCACAUAUUCAUAAUCAUUAGUAUGCCAUGCCAAGAUAUAACAAAGUAAGUUAUUCAGGUGAGAAUAACUUCAUGGAAAAUAACAUAUUACCCUGAACCUUUACAUAAAUUUGUAUGGAUGAAUUCAUAGCUCAUUAGUCAAUCUAGCUGGAGUCACUACUAUGACAUAUACAGCACUACACUGCACAUAAGUCGAAACCACUAAAAAAAGGGAUAUGUACGACAAUACUAGGUGUAAUAUAAUUAUGCUCGAUACUACUCUCUCAUGAUAGCUGGGUGAUAAAUCGCUAGUCACCUACGAGUCGGAAUUACCUAUGAUGGUCUGUACGACAGGACUGUGCACCAAAAUUGGAUCCAAUAUGAGCAUAUGGUGCGGGAAGUGACAUUUUAAUAACAGGCCUGUGUCAUGUCUCUGGCUAAUCAUUAACACCCUAGGUGCAGGUUUAUGAGCUCAAAGCUUCUCAAUUAAUCAACACCUUAAUCACAUUCACAAUCCAUAACUCACAUGGGCUUACCUGAGUGUCCACAGCACCACAAUAAUAUAUAUGCAUCAUAUACUAAUUCAUAUACGAAAUAUAAAUUUAGAUGCAUGACAUUCAAAGCAUACUUUCAUUUAAACACAUUUUCUAGGAAAAUAUCAAGUAUAUAAAUAUAUACUGAAAACCAAAAGCCCACUCACUGGUAUGUCGAAUGGUCGUAGCCCCCGAGUCGCCCUUGACUAUGCUCGUCCUCGGGAUAAGCCUCCCCUAUAUGCGAAAUAACUAUAAAAAUGUUAUUUAAAGCACAUAGACAAAACUAGCUAAUAACUUCUCACAAUUAAAUUGUUAUAUGGAAUAUGUGAGUCAAUGUAUACAAAAUAAAUUAGAAGCAUAUUUAGGGUUUUCUAAACCCUAGGUUCAAAAAAUUUGGUAUAUUUUUCAGCACUACUGUGGAAUGGCAUCAUCUUGAUGCCUUUGGACCACCUGUGCAACCCUUUUUGGGCCUACUGCUCCACAAUGUACCAUAACCAGGCCUUGACUUGGGUUGAAACUUGCAUAGGCCAGAAGCCCUAGGUCCAAAACCACAGCCAACAAGCCUUGCUUACUGGGCUCCCGUGUCCCGGCAUGUGUCCCCCAUGCCAGCCCAAGCGGCUAGGCUUGUCUCGAACCCAAACUAAAGUCAGCCUUUGUGCUGGGCUUUGUAAACGUACCCAUAGCCCACUUCCCCCAGCCCAAUUUAUUGGGUUUGAAGCCUGCUACCGUGCCCCCUUCGACCAAAAUUGGAACCCAGCUACGACUGGGGUUCCUCCCACUCUCGUAGGACCUUGGUCCUAUUUUUUUCAAUGAACCCAUGGCUUGCAGCCCAUUCCCGAGCACUUUUGCUCACGGCACCUAGGACAAAUAUUUUUGGGGCUAUAUUUUCAACCCAAUAAUAUUAUUUUUGCUUCUACAAUCGACCCCGUAUGGCCCAAUUUAUUGAAUUAAUUAAAAGUGACGUGCAGUCCAUUAUGUUAGAAAUGUGCCCUAAAGCCAAUCAUAUGAUGAUACUUUACGGACAUUUCACAAGUUAAACUAAUUUAGUUUAAUAUAAAGGGGAAAAAUUAUUGUUUAAAGCCAUCUCAUAUAAAUGUUAUAUGCUUAAACAAUAUGUCCAAGGAAUAUGUAAUUGGGAGAAUGUGAUCUAAAGAAGUUAGAUUCAUGAGACCAUUCUCUUUCAUAUACAUAUUAUAAACGUUCCUGAUCAUAAGAUUGCCAAUUGGGCAUUGACAGUCUGUUAAGAUCAAUAUGUGAUAUCUUCUCUUAAAAGAGAGUGACUGGUCUCGAGUCAUUGGUGUGACCAACACCAAGACAAGCAUGUAGGUGCUCAAUAAAGAAUGAGUCCACUGAACACGAUCAACGAGGAGUUCUCAUACUCAUAUCACAUGAGAACUUAUGGUUGGGAUAAUGCAAAGUAGUCCUUUGACCUGAGGCAUCAUAGUUGUCUUGUGGUUAGGUCCUUGAUCUUUGACUAUGUCAAAGUCACUCCAUCAUAGGGUGUCCACGACAUAGUUGGGGUUAAGCCACUUAGCCAUGGAGGUAAGUGAAUGCACAACAAGGGAUCUCUAGCCUUCAAACCACUUGAGGGAGAAUACUUUAUAAUAUGAUUAAGAAUCUCUGGCCAGAGUAUGAAUGAGAUUUAGGAAGUCAUUCCAAAUUACGUUCAAAGUAAUCAUAUAAAUAAGAGAAUCACAUUGGAUAGUAGACAUAAUAAACUAUCAAACCAAACAAUGUGGUCAAGAGUAUUGUAUUAAAGAAAGACCGUAUUGCAUUGUAAUCCUAAACUGAAUAGGUUCUCCACCUCUUCUAAUUAGCUUAGGUAGCCAUGACAUACUGCUAGGUGUCACUCAUGGUUUGUGGAAGCCCUAAAGAUGUAUAAUCACUAAAGGGAGAAUUGAAAGUAUGUUUCAAUUCACAAUUAAUUUGAAGAGUUCUAAUCGCCCAAUGCCUCGCUAAAAGGAACCUAAUGGAUCGUACACCGUGCAAGGUAGAGAUUGAAGAAACAAUGGAGAUGAGUAAGGAUAAUUAUAUGGUUUAAUUAUUU
Molecule: long non-coding RNA, 61281 nt
Filed under: Malus domestica (apple)
Lineage: Eukaryota; Viridiplantae; Streptophyta; Magnoliopsida; Rosales; Rosaceae
Description: long non-coding RNA (MDOM_LNC000401)
Source: RNAcentral